This 71660-nucleotide long non-coding RNA is filed under the name Citrus x clementina. RNAcentral describes it as "Citrus clementina (C. clementina) long non-coding RNA (CCLE_LNC003589)". Lineage: Eukaryota; Viridiplantae; Streptophyta; Magnoliopsida; Sapindales; Rutaceae. The record is from RNAcentral.
UAUAUAGUUUCUUAGAAGAGAAUGCGCUUUUUGGAAUCUCAGGCUGAAGGAUUUGCUGACAUGGAAGAGUUCAGGGAUCUUCAAGCUUGCCUUGAUGAAGUGAAGACGAAACUCCAAUCUGGUCCCGUGGCUACCUAAGUAUCAGGAACGUGCUAUUUUUGAAUAUCAGGAAUGUGCUAUUAUUUUAGUUCGUACUGUAGUUGAGACCUUAACCAUGACUGAAUAUCUUGUAUUGCUGUACCACCUUUUCUGUAACAAAACAGUCUAGUUUUAGUAUUUUUAUUAUUUUUGUAUUUUCAGUGCUGUAACUAAUCUCAUUUGACAAUGUAAAUAUAUGGCUUCAAGUUAUUUAAAUGUAAAAUCAAGUGUUGUUUUCAACCUCUGUUCUUUUAUGUAUAGCUUACAUGCCGUGAUUUCAUUAACCUCAAUUUAAGGACAAUUUCAUAUCUUUUUUCUUUCUGCUUUUCUUUUAUCAUUUAAGAACAAAUAUGAAUAUAUUUCAGACAGCAUUUAAACAAAGCAACCGAACGUCGCUGGUUUCUAUUAUUACAUUGACAGCAAUAAAACAAAGAAGCAACUGAAAGUUAUCUUCAUAUGAGAAUGAAAGCUUUUCAGCAGCAUAACACUAUUCAUUUCCAAACGAGUUCCUCAACAUGAGAACAAAUUCGUAGACCUUUUCUGGGUCUGGAAGGAUCCUGGCAACAGUUUCCCUUUGCAUGCACUUGUUCAUCCAAGCGGAGAAUUUGGGGCACUCAUUCGCAUCCUUAAAUCACCCAAAUUUCUCAACCGCGUAAAACCAACAAAUUUCUCAACCCCCAAAUUUGGGACAUCAACGAAUCCAAAGCUAUCCCCGCCAAAGAAAUCCUUCUCCCCUAAAGCUCCCUCUAGUUGCUUCAAUAUCUCUAUAAAUUCAUUCUUUGCCGUCUCCUGUGUUUUAAAAAAUCUAUUGUAAUGGAUCUAUUGUAAAUUUAUCUAACUGCUUGUUAUAAUGCUUCUAUUGCGGUGUUAUUCGAGUUGUCAUUUUCAGUUUUAUUUUAUUUGUUCUUUAAACAUAGUUAAUUUGAAAUGUUCUUUAAUAUCCAUUACACUUGAGAUCAUCAAAUAAGUGAUUCUUGAAUAUAAUUGCUGUUGUUACUCGAAUAAGAAAAGAAAACAAAAAAUAGCUAAGGUAAAAGUAAAUGGAAAUGAGAGCAACGUGAUUUUGCAAAGAGAACUUCACACUAUCAUAAAACCGAAAACAUUACAAUUUAAAGCUUUAAUAACAACACAUCAAAGUCAAAUAACGACCCACUAGAAUCAUGGUCCAAAGAUUGUGCCAUGAUCACAACAUGAACUACAAAAAAAUAACCAACACCAGAAAAGUAGGAACAGUUUGAAACUUUCAACUAAGCAGCAUUUAUGAUUCCACAUCAGCAGCCCUAAACACAUCUUCUAACAAUCGCAACUGCUCAUUUUUGCUUCUGCCAAUAAAGAGUUGAUUGUAACCAAAGAUUGUUGUCUUUAUUGUCAUUUGAGAGUAACAAAUUACUUACGCAGUCACGUAAGUUGUUGGUUGGCCUCGCACAUUUUUGAGAAGUUUGUUUCUGAAGGAAACCAGCUGAGCCGCAACCUCUUCCAUGCUCAUUCGUUCUCUCGGCAACUCUGAAGAGCAAAUGGCUCCGAUUCCCAGUACGGAAACCAAGCACUCUUUACCACUAAAACUUCUGGUCCAUUGUUUGUGAGCAUUGGCGUUGCUUUUCUCCCCUUCUUCUCUUUCUACAAGAAGCACUGGAUCAACAAUUUCAGCGAGUCUUUCAGGAAGAGCUUCCUUGACAAAAUUAUGUAGGGUUAGAUUGCCUGUAAACAUUUCAUUCGUCGGCCUCUUUCCUGUAAACAUUUCCAGCAAGAGUAUUCCAAAACUGUACACAUCUCCACUUGUUGAGACUUCGCUCCCCAUUCCGUACUCUGCAAUUCGAAAACUAAAAUUGUUGGUUCAACUAGUAAAAUCUCAAAGGAUUGAAAGACAAGUUAAUUAAAUAAUAGUAAUUACCUGGAGCAGCAUAACCAACGGUUCCUUUUACUCCAACAGAGCUUGAUUGAUUAGAUGACAAGUUAUUGGUGGCUUCCGGAAGGAAUUUUGCUAAUCCAAAAUCACCUACAUGGGCAGUCAAUUCACUAUCCAGAAGAACAUUGCUUGGCUUGAGAUCACAAUGGACUAUUGGAGUUUCGCAAUAAUGAUGAAGAUAAUCCAAUGCAGAAGCAACAUCAACGGCAAUACUCAGUCUUUGCAGGAGAUUUAGAUUCUUAAGUGCCUCACGGUUUGGAUGCAACCAUUCCUCCAGGCUUCCGUUAACCAUGAACUCAUAAACUAAAGCCUCGAAAUCAUUUCCUUGGAAGUCAACACUUGCACAGGAAGUUAUUAUUUUGACGAGAUUCCGAUGCCUAAUAUUUCUCAAGGCCUGACACUCCGCUAUGAAACUCUUUGAAGCUCCUCGAUGUUGAAGAUUAAGCACCUUAACUGCCACCAGCGUUUCAUGAUCAUCAUGAUUGAGGACUCCUUUAUAGACCGAACCAAAGCUACCGGCACCAAUCAAGUUUUCCAAAGAGAACCCGUCAGUUGCUUUGAACAGAUUCUCAUAGGACACUCGUAAAACCGAAGCCAAGAGAGCUGAUGGAGGAGUGGCCGGCUUCCUUUUUGAUUUGCCCCGCCAGGAAGUAAUUAUCAAACACGACAUCCCUGUUACUAACAAAAUUCCUGUAACAACAGGAAUAAUCAGUUUCAGGAAACGGGAACGUGAUUGCAUUGAUUCUUUGAUGGAACAAGUAGAUAAAUGCAACUCAGAUAUGCCACCACAGAGGUUAUCAUUUCCGUCAAGAGAUAUAGCACUCGAAUUGCUGAAGACUCCUUUUAUUGGUACUUCACCCUCAAAAUGAUUAAAAGACAGAUUUAAAUUCUGCAAAAAGGGAAAGUUUUCCAGAUAUUUUGGAAUUCGGCCAGACAAAUUGUUCCUCGAAAGAUCAAGAUUCUCAAUGCCUCUCAAAGAACUGAAUGAUGAAGGGAUAUUCCCUUGAAAGAAAUUACCAUUCAUGAUGAGUUGUACCAACAUAAUGCAACUUCCUAUACUGCUUGGAAUUUCACCAGACAAUUUGUUCUCCGAUAUGUCUAUAAAACCCAGAUUUUUCAAGAUACCAAAAUUAGAGGGCAAAGGACCAUUCAAAUGGUUUUGAGAUAGAUCAAGAUAGAUUGACAAGGAAGAGAGGCCAAUCACUUCAGUGGGUAUGGUACCACUGAGGUUGUUAUUGGAGAGAUCUAAUAAUAUCAAGUUUUGGCAUUUCCCUAGACUUGAUGGAAUGUUUCCCUCUAACAUGUUUUCCGCAAAAUCUAGUAUAGCUAACGAUGUCAAAUUUCCUAUAGAAGAUGGAAUUUCCCCCCAAAACUUGUUCCCCAGAAGCCACAACGUCUGCAGCUUAUGAAGAUCUCCUAUACUUCCCGGAAUUCGGCCUGUGAAUUGGUUGCCCCCAAGGUGUAAAAGCUCUAAGUUAACAAGAUUUCUUAAUCGAUUUGGGAAAUUUCCGAACAACUGAUUGUUUCCAACUAUUAAUAUUCUAAGUCGGGUUGACAAGUUCCCCACAGCUUCAGGUAACAUUCCACCAAAAUUGUUGUCACUAAUUUGCAGUAGCUCUAGUCUGGAAGCGUUGACCAAAGAAUUGACAAAUUCCAAGUCAUCCUUUUUCCCAUUUCCUAAGUGAUUCAGAUAAAAACUAACCCAUUGGAGUUUAUGUAAAUUUUCCAAACUAGGCACCUUUCCACUGAAUCCAUUCAUUGGGAUUGUAAGUCUCAUUAGAUUUGAGGCAUUGGAUAUUGAAGCAGGAAUAGGCCCAGUAAACUGAUUACCACCAACGUUUAAUCGUUCAAGAUUAGGCAGAGUGAAGCCUAAGUCUGAUGGAAGGCUUCCUUGAAGUUGGUUAUGAGGGAAAUCCAAAUAAUUAAGCGAAGACAAGUUGUAGAUUGAGAAAGGGAUUUCACCUGAUAGCUUAUUUACUCCCAAUAAUAUAUCACGCAUCCUCUUUAGCUGACCCAGUGUUUCAGGAAUUUGUCCCACAAAUUGAUUUGCAGCUGCUGAGAGGACCUCGAGUGAUGACAAAUUGCCCAAGGAAGAUGGGAUUUCUCCCGAAAAAUUGUUGUAGUGUACUGUGAGCAUCCGGAGCUUUGAUAUGGAGCCUAGUAACCCAGGAACUUUCCCCACAAGCUCAUUGACGCCUAACCUGAGGGAUUCAAGGUUAACGCAAUGCGAUAUGUUGUCAGGAAUUUGACCUCCGAAUGUAUUGUUGUUCAGCUCCAAAAUUCGUAACCUGAACAGAUAUCCAAUCUCUUGAGGGAUUUCGUUGCGGAAGCUAUUGUUUUUGAGAUCUAACACUCUGAGAAAACUCAAAUUACCAAUGUGAGGCGACAGAGACCCCUGCAAGAGUAAAGAUGGAAGACGUAAUCCAGUCACCCUUUGGUGCCGUCGACUGCAAGUGACACCUUUCCAUUGACAAAAGUGCCUGGAAUAGUUCCAUGAUCUCAAAACCUCAAGAGGGUCAUGAGUAACUUUGGCCUUGAAUUGAAGCAAUGCAAGUUGAUCAGUUUCAUUGCUUUUGAGCAUAUAAUCGGUUGAUUGCAAGCUGAAGCUGAAGCAACAUAAAAUAAAGAAACAAAUGCUUACAAUGAUUGAACUCAUCAUGUUUACAAAAUUCAUUUAACUGCCGAAGGAAAUUAAAAUGAUAAAACUUUUAUAGAGGUUUGUAAGAUAAAAUAUGUUUGUAUAUAUUUUGCAAUGAUUUAUGGACUCUGUCUUUGAUGCUCAAAUGUGAACCAGGUGGCACCGUGACAGUGAAACUAAUACUUUUUCUUUUUCUAAUAAUAUUAAUUAUCAUAUUUAUUACUAUUGUAAGAAUAAUAUACUGCAGCUUUAAAGAAAGACUCACCAUACUCUCUUUUGAGUUUAAUCACCAAUAUUGAAAAGGAAAAAAAAAGUAGGGCAAGAGAAAGGUAAAUACGAUGGGUGGAGUGUUAAGACUACUGUUAAAUGAGUUGGGAAACGUUCAAAGCACGAUGGGAAUUAAAGAUUCACAACACCUUUUUUCUAAAAUUUUCAAUACAGUCUCCCCCAAAAUUUGCUAGUGCAACAAAGAGACGUCGCGCCGUUAACAAUUUUAAACUGUAAAUGACAUGUCGUUUUCACAGAAUUCGUUUAACUGCCGGAGGAAAUUGAAAUUAUAAACUUUUAUAAAGGUUGGUAAGAAAAAAUAUACUUGCACAUAUUUUUUUUUCAAUGAUUUAUGGACGCUGUACUUGAUGCUGAAAUGUGAACCGGCUGGCACCGGGACAGUGAAAUUAAUGCUUUUUGUUUUUCUAAUAAUAUUAAUUAUCCUUUUCCUUUAAGGAAGACCCGCCACACUCACUUUUGACGCUCUAUCAGUUUCCAGCAUGUUGUCGUUUUGUAUUUUAGUGCAUUAAAGAAAUCCACAAUGAAUAUAAAAUAAUUUAAUCAACAGUAUUAGAAAAAGAAAAAAAGUAGGAUAAGAAAGUUAAGUAUGAUGGAUGGAGUUUCACAUUUCUGUUAAAUGACUUAGGAAAUGUUUAAAGCACCACAGGAAUCAACGUUUCACACGCUUUUUAGAUUUUUUUUCUAAAAGGAAAAAGAUAUUCUCACGAAAGAAAGUACAAAAUUUCACACAAAACGGUGCAUUUAAAUAAAGUAAAAUUGCAAAAAUACUCAAAAUAUAUAAGAUUGAUCAUUUACACCCUCCUUGUUUUUUUUGGGUGAACUAUUUCUGGAAAAUGGGCAGAGCCUAGUUUUGGUUCAAAAUUUGAAAUAACAAAUGGUAUAUUGGUGGAAAACCAACGACAUAUUUUCUAAUGCUUAACCUAAAUGGGAAUUAUAUCGGUUUGUACUGUCAAUAUAACAAACAACUAACUAAAUUAUUUAGAAGUCAUGAAUAAAAAUGGAUAGAACAAGAAGUAUAUUGCUAUUCGAUGCAAGAUGUUGGAUUAUUAAACCAUAAUAAAAUAAUAUAACUACACAUGUGCAAUGUUAUUCACUAAAAAGAUUUAAUUUAGAUAUUAAACAGUUAGUGCAACUGUAUCGAUCUCAUCCUCAUUAAUUUAGAGUUUGAGAACUCAUAAUAAAAGAAAAUAGAAAUUUAAACAUAGAUCCUAUCCUAUUAAGUAGAAUCAGAAAAGAAGUUUAUAGAAAUAAUUUUUCACGGAAGCAAUGAAAUAUUAAUCCGGUUGAUGGAUAUAUUGGUGAACACAUAAUAGAAUAUUAUAAUAGAUUUUUAUCUAUCAAGCAAAGGGAAGAAUAUAAUUGGAAUAACAAAAGAAUUAGAAGUAAAUAGUAAUAUGCUAAUAGGAUAUAAAGGAUUAUUAUUAAUUAUCGUAUUUGUGUAUAUAUAUAUAUAUUUUAAAUGAUUUAGGGACUCUGUACUUGAUGCUGAAAUGUGAACCGGCUGGCACCGGGACAGUGAAACGAGUACUUUUUUUAUUAUUACACGGCCUGUCGUUUUCAAAGAAAAAUUUUAUCAUGGUAUUCUUAUCCCCUAGCUGCCGUUUGUCGUUUGGAAUUUCUCUGUAUAAGAUUUUAAAGCAGCAAAAAUUUCGCCAUCUCGCGCCGGGGGGGUGGGGUGGGGGGAAGAUGAUGAUUCCGUGGAAUAUUAUCUUCGACUUAUCUGCUAUAAUCAGUGCUAACCGAUUUUGACACAUUUGCAGUAACGGAAGGGUUACAAUUACACGAGAUUGACACGAGGUAAUUAGCUAGUCAAGUCUCCGUGGGAAAAUUGUAAGCACUCAAGACUUAAAAAAGACUUUAUAAAGUAAGGCGUAUUAUGGAUGGUGUGGUUUGAUUCUCACUUGCAUCAAUUGUUCUUUUCAUUUUUCAUUGGAGGAAAGGAAAUUCAAGAGCCUGGUGUAUCUAGCAAAUUUUGUAACACGUUCUUGUAAGAUAAAAUAAAUAAAUAAAUAUAUCGGAUCCUAUUUCAUAGUUUAGUUAUAGGGUUAUUCGGAUGUCUGAAUUCAAAACAAGUUAAGUUUAAUCUCUAAAUAAUUUUGAGGAAAUCUUUCUACAAGGAGAGUUUGAAAUCAAUCACUACCCAUGUGUCAUUGGUCAGAUAAAUAGGUUAAGAACUCUAAUCCUAUCCCGACACAAAAAAAAAUCGUAUCGACUCGGACCUAGUCCAUUUUAAAUAACGGUUUAUUUAAAAUAAUUAUUUUUAUAAUAAUAAUUACUACUAUUAGUUGUCCUAUUAUUAUUAUUAACAAUAAUUAUUUUAAAUAAAAAUUGUAAUUAUUAUAAUAAAUGAUGACAAUAAUCAACUAAGAUUAUUUUGGUAUUGUAAUAAUCAAUUCCAAUUCCAAUAAAAAUUAGAUACAUUAGUGACAAUAUAAAUUAGGGUAGGGGUGGGCAAAUUCGGUUUGGAUCGGUUUGGGACAUAUCCUCAAACCGAUCCAAACUAAUCGGUUUGAAAUAUUUUCAAACCGAUAUCAACCUAAAAUUUUUUUAAACCGAACUGAUCCAAACCGAUUGGAUCGGUUUGGAUCCGGUUUGAACUUAUUAGCUAAAAUUUCACUUCUUUUAUAUUAUUUUACCUAAAUUAUUUGUUAUUUUUUUGUGUCCGCAAUCUAAAUUGAUACCUCUUUUAUAUUAUUCAUAUCUACUUUGAUAUCUACAUAACAAUUCAAAGAUACAUCCAUACAAGUUUACAGCAUAAUACAUCCUAAUAAACAAGUUCUUAACCUGUUCAUUCAAAACAAACUCACAAAAUUAAAAUAAACUUAAACCACACUUGACAAUUAAAAUAUUGUGCAUCUUGUCCGUCAAAAUUUAUAGUCCAAUUACUUUUGAUUUGUUAAAAUCUGCAUAAAAUGAUAAAUAUAAUUAUUUAGAUUGAUUAACUUAAAAUAUAAUGUAAUUAUAUAAUAUUUCUGGAUUGGAUCGGUUUGAAUCGGUUUGGAAUCCUUCCAAACCGAGUGAUGUCGGUUUGCAAUCCAAUAAACUGAAACCAGUUUUUUUACUAAUGAAACCGAUCCAAACCGAUCCAAAAGGUCGGUUUGGAUCGGUUCGGUUAAAAUAUGCCCACCCCUAAAUUAGGGGUUAUUUUUAGAAACCUCCCCUGAAGUUUAGUGUAUUGACAGUCGGAUAGAAAGUAUUCAUAUAAUUACAGGGACCUCCCCUGACGUUAGUAUUCCGCUAAGUGGACUGUCAGUUGACUAUUGAAAUUCCAAAAAUGCCCUUGCCGCAAAAAUAUAUUUUUAACAUAGAGGAGGUUGCGCUCUGAUCCUUUGUUCUGAAUUCAUUUUUUAUCCUUUGUUCUUAGUCACGGUAUAUAAGCCCCAUCCUUACCAAACAAAAUUUUAGAUCAAACAUGCUUAAAGAAAAUGGAUAAUGCAACAUCUAAAAUAAUUUUAAAACACAAAACAACAAAUACUCCACAUUUCAAAGUAAUAAAAAAAUAAAUAAUCGUAGUGCAAAUAGAUUAAACCUGAGCAGAUUUAUAGGCAUUAAGAGUAUUCUCAACGGCGACUUUCCUCUCAUCGCCAGUCUUAAACUCAGCCAAGUUAAGCAAACUCAUGUCGAAACCAAAAUUAGAAUUUAGAAAGGAAAAAAACAGAAUUGAGAAUCAAUUUAUUUUUUGGGAGCACGUGAGUGAUGAGUUUUGGAAUCUAAAAUGAUAUCAAGUUAUGAAGUAUUUUUGGUGUAAACGCAACAGCCAUGAGAGGAGAGUGACGAGAAACUUCCAAAAAGAGGUGAAAAAAAAAACAGAAGAGAAAAAGGCCAAAAGGAAAAAGACUCAAAAAAACAAAAACAGAGAGGAGACGCAAGGGCAAUCAAGCAAGCAGACAAACAAUUUAAAACCUGAGCAGAUAAUCACCCUUCAUCUUCAAAUAAAACACCUUGGAAUCGGCAGCGGCAGCGGUGGGAACCAAUUUCUGGUCCAAUAAUUUCAAGAUCCCGCCACAGGAUCUCCAUCAACUCGGCUUCGAUCUUCGAUCUGUACUCCUUAAUCACGGAGACAUGGUCUUGGUUGCCGUGCGACUCGUCCUUCUGCUCGAUGGAGGACACGAUGCACCAAGAGGCGCGCCGUGCGCCGAUGACGUUCUUGUAGGCGACGGAGAGGAGGUUCCUCGCUGGUCGAGGCAGAGACGACGACUUUUUCCAUGUAUUGGACCAUCUCCUCGUACCACUCGGCUUGCUCCGCAAGUUUUUCCAUGUAUACGUUUUCUUCCCGUGGAGAAGGGGCUGCCAUUGUUCCGUUCAGUUAUCUUUGUGUUUGUUUGAAUUUUGUUUUUGUUUAAAUUUUAAAUUUAUUUUUACGUAUUUACCCUUUAUAAUAACGUUAUACGUAUUUUUGUAUUAACGUUAGGGGAGGUCUUUGUAAUUACAUGAAUAUUUUCUAUCCGACUGUUAAUACACUAAACCUCAGGGGAGGUCCCUAAAAAUAACCCUAUAAAUUAUUACAGCUAAAAUAAAUAAUUUAUAAUAAUUCUAAUUCUUUAUUUCAAUUCUAUUUUGAUUCUAUCUUAUUCCGAUUACUGAUUGGUAAGCAUACCACUAAACGAAAUGAAACUGUCCAUACACAAUAAAAUCUCUUUAAUUGAUCAUCUAGCCCAGCUAAAAUCAACGGUCCCGAAAGAAACAAUUUCGGAACUACUCAAGCCUGCAAAUCUUGCACUGUCGUAGUAAGUUACAGGAAUUUGAUUGGACGAUGUAAUAAAGAUGAAGGAUAAGAUCGCCAUUCGCCAAUCAAUUUUCUGUCCGCAUCAAGCAAAUAGGCCAUCUGUGAGGCGCAAAAUGAGUUAAAAAGAUGGAUAAUUUUGGAAUCCAUUAAUCCACAAUGAACAUAAAACAAUUUAAUCAACAGUAUUAGGAAAGAAAAGAAAAGUAGGAGAAGAAAGUUAAGUAUGAUGGAUGGAGGUUCAGAUUACUGUUAAAUGACUUAGGAAAGGCUUAAAGCACCACAGGAAUCAACGUUUCACAAAGCUUUUUUCCCUUUCUGAAAUAUUCGGUGCAGUCUCCCCCAGAUUUUGCCAGUGCAACCAAGAGACGUCAUGCCGUUAUCAAUUAUAAACUGUAAAUGACAUGUUGUUUUUACAAGACAUAUUAUGCGUCGAUACAUACCUAUGAAUGGGUUCAAGAAAUUCAGCAGGUUGCGAAACAAUAAGAUUCAUUCAAUCCGCGUAGAUAUCUGACUGACUGAAAUUAAAUAAACGAUGAUGAUAAGAAAUUUGAAAUCAACAAAUCUCGGCACAUCUAUUCUGCAGUUUGGCCGUACUUCAAAUAACCUUGCGAUAAAAAUUUCAUAAAAAAUCUCAGAAAGAGGACAGAACAACCAAGGCAUCAGCGAAAGCAAUCGAGGCAGGGCACGCUCAAGCCACGAAUUAGAGGAAUUUUAAAUAUCAAAACCUGCUCAGAAUAAUAAGAAAUAAAAUGAAACUACAAAAGGCUCAGAUUUUUGGAUGAGUGAAGGGAAGAUGAGAAGAUGAAAUGCAGAAAGUCAAGAAAUGAAUAAACCAAUAUUAAUAAUCUUGGACCCACAGCUCUAAUUUGGAUUAAGCAUCCAUCUACCUAUGUGGAUAAUAUUUUUGCUAACUUUUCAGCCAUGCAGCAGGAUCAUGUUCGUCCUGUUUUAUUUGAUAGAAGGAAUUUUCCCCUGGAAGAAAAUGAUGAGUCGUUUCAACGUCAUGCAACUGCCUAGACUGCAUGGAAUUUCACCAGACAAUGACAAUUUAUUCUCAGAUAUAUCUAACGCCCCCACAUUUGCCAAAUUUGAAGGCGUCCGUUUUGAGACUGAUAAAAACGUUUUCCAAAAAUUCGGGAUUCAGGUCGAUCAGACCGGUUAUGUUUUGCAAAACUUGUAAAUUUUCAGUGAUCAAAAUUCAAAACUUUGCAAAUAGGUCAAAAUAUGAAAAAUACUUGAUAUAUUAUUGAAUACUCAUUUUGUUUUGCAUUAAUAUACGGCUGUGGGUGCUAUCUAGUUCUAUUAGUAAAAUUCCUUGGGUUGAAAACAAGAAAACUAGCAUUUGAAACUCACCCAUAUGGAUGGGAAAGAAAUUUAGUUACCAUUGGAUUAAAAAAUAAUAAUAACAAUUAGAAAAAAAUUGUAAGGCUUCGACAAGAUUUGCUAAUCAUGUAUAGAUUAAUAUGAAGAUUAAGAACAUCACCUAAGCCAAUUAUUGAAAUUGAAAUUUUAGGAGAAAAAUUUAUGUGGGUUUGGCCACCAAUUUAGCAUUAGGAACUUAUUGUUUAGGAAGCUAUGGUGGGUUUCGUAGUGGGACUUAUCCUCUUUAAUGCAUAUGGUGAUUUUAAACCAACAUUUAUAUAAUCCCAUUAUAAAACUCAUCAAACCUUCUAAAAUAACUCGUUGAGAUAGUGUGCUAGAUCCAUAUAAAUAUUUCUCCAACUUCUUAGCUUGAAGCGAUAUUCAUUUCCAUUGAUAGUUUAAUGGGCAAAGCCUUUUGAAUUCUCCAGGUUAUCAAGUUAUUUUUUGCUGGAAAAUGCAAUCCGGAUAUGAAUAGAUUUUUUUGUGCAAUCAAAUUUUCUAUGUUGACGCAUCCUCUAGAACUUUCAGUAAAUUUUAUGGAGAAGCUUUAAUUUCUUAGUUGUUGAUUUCGAAUAAAAAAUUAAACUUAACUUUAAAAUUACAGUUGUAAUUAUAAAAUAUUUACUGAAUACAUUAGUGUUAAUACUACAAAUUGUUCCAUUAAAAGUCUCUCAAAAAGGAAGAAGUGACUUAAAAAAUUAAAAGAAUGCAGGAGCUGAAGUUGGCAAUUUUGUAAAUUGCAAUGGCAAUUGUGGGCUAGUAAAAUCCCUCAAUGAGUCACAGCACUAGCAAUUUCGUAAUAUACAUUAGUGGCAAUUUUGUAAAAUUGAAGUUGUGAUAGUUUUGCAAAUAAAAGUAAAAGCUUUUUGCCUAAAUUCGGCUGAGCUAAAAGCCAGCUUAGCCCACACUCUCCUUCGCCACCGGUUGACGAGCUCUUCCUUCAAUUUUUGAACUUGAAGUGAUGCCCCAUCGAUGUCCAGAAUUUUUAAAGUCAGAAUGAUGAUCCUAAUGAUUCUUUUUAGAUAGUCACCUGUACGUUGACGUGUUUAAUUGAUGUUUAUUUAAGCAGAAAUUGAAGUUUGAUCCCUGAUUAAUUAGAUGAGAACACACAUUCAUGAGUAAAUACUUAAAAUUAAAUUAAUCAAAAUAGUAUAAAUACAGGAGAAAAUCGAUCAUAUGCGUGCAGACAUCACAAUCGAAUUAUAUAUAUCACCGCCGCACAUAAAUUUGAUUCCCAUGAUAUGUGAUUAAUUAAUUAAUUUUUUUAAUAACAAUUAAAUUGUAAUGUCAAUUGUCCACAUAAGUUUUUUGUUUUUGUUGAUGAAAGUUAGUAAUUUUUUUCCAUCUUUUUAAAUAAAAGUUGUUAAUAAAUAUCAAGAAAAUAUUGGGACUUGAGAUCAGGGUCUACUUAAGUUAGAAUUUUUUAUUAGAAAAGCUAUAGCCAGCGAUGAAAAAUAAAGAAGUAACACAAGAUAAAGAGUAAAAUGAGAGAGCAUAUAUUAUAAAAAGAUUUUACCCAUUUCAAGUGUGCACCAAACAAAGAGACGAACUCUCAUUUUAUAGUUACAUAAUUAUUACAUGAAAUUAAUAAAAAUAUUAAGAAUUAUAAUUCCUUGCGAGAUAGUGGGAGUUAUAGAAAAGUCAAGAGUUGUUAGUGGAAGAUAGCAAGAAGAGUAAAAAAUAUAUGUUAUGAACAUUCACAUUUAUUUUAAUAAAUUUACAGUAUUUUUUUCGUUAAAUAAUAGGGUGUGGAGAACAAUUGGAAGGACUUUACGUGUGUUUAUAUAUUGACAUAAAAAUUGCAGGACGUGUAGUUUAGCGUUUCUUGGUUGUUCAGUGCUAGUUUUCUAAAUCUCGAGCGUGCGGGUUAUUUUUCGUUACCUUUAUCACCGAAAGGCUGUUUUAACCAACUAAGAACUAAAAGCUAAAACCCAAAACCCCCCUCUUGUUCUUUUCCAGGGACUUUACCUUGUCCUUGAUGGCCGAAAAGCAACUGGAAAUCCUCCGCGGGUACGAGCUGCGGCUCUUGCGCUGCACCCUCGCUCCCCCACCGUCCGAUCUUCGCAUUCAAUCGCAACCGUUGAACGAAGAAAGCCAAUGCUCUAUCCUUCCACUCCACGAGCACAUCAACAGCCUCAUCAACUCCAUCGAGUCCGGCCACUAUCUCCAGGCUCUGUCCUCCGACGAGGCUAAACACGCUCUCGACACGCUCGAUUUCGUCGACAUCAACGACUCAGCCGAGUGUGCCGACCGCGUCUACUCCGAGCUGCUCCAGCUUGUCGAAGCGUCUAUAGUGAACGAUUCCGAAAUUGACGUGGAUAAGGCUUGUCGAGUUAUUCUGCUCAUGUGUCUUUCAAUUGCUGCCCUUUUUUGGUUCACUCAGUGUAACGUGACUGGGUGAGUUUCUUAUUUAUAAAUUUUUAAAUAAUUGCAAUUAAUUAAUAAUAAAUAUUAGUAAAAAAUUAAUCAAAAAAAAGGUUUAGUGAUGAACCUUGUCGAGGUGCCUUCUAAUAGAAAAGAGCUCACGGCAAGAUGAAAUGCAAAGUAAGUUGUUUUAUGGUUGGGCGGUGUGUAGCCGUCUUGUUGAAGGCCAUAAGAUGUUAAGCAUAUUGCUGUUUAAUUUUUAAAUCAUUCUCAGUAAUAAUUCCUUUAGUAGAUUGAUGAUAAGAGAUUGCAUUGCAGAUGAUAACUGAGCACAAUUUCUGUAGUUGUAUCCCUGUACAUCCAUCUUAAUAUCCUCAUUAUAUUCACAUGCCUUUUACGGGUGUUAUUUCUGGAUGCAGAAUGCUUUGUUCCACGUCUGGAUACCAAAUGCUUUGUUCCACAAAGCUGAGCUGGUUGAAAAGCUAGCUGAUGAGGUCAACAUGUCCCUUAAGUAAUUUGAGGAUGAACACUGUGUUCCCGAAAGUCUUACUCUAAUGAUACUUAAAGAAGCAAUGAGAAUGGAUGUUGCAGCAGCUUUGCUGAACUCAACCCCAGUUCCAAAAAUGGAACAUGUGAAAAUGCAUUGUUUUUUUUUUUUUUUUUCUCUCUCUUUAUGACUUCUUUGGUUGGGAAUGUAUUAGAUAUUCACCUAAUCAGUAGGCCUUGAAGGGAUCCCAUGUUAGCCCCUUGAUGUUGGUCUGUAACUAAGUAAAUACUUGACCUUGAAAAAGCUUUUGGAGGCAUCAGUUCUCUCUGACUGUGUGCUACUUUUUGGAUCUGUUGAUUUGGUCAUUUGCUGAUUUAUAGUUAUUUUUCUGAUUCAGGAUGGGAUAUGGCUCCAUACAUAUAUAGGCAAUUGAUUCACAGCAGUCGUCAUGCUUCAUUGUAAUUAUAUAUACAAUACAGCAUCAGUUUUUCUUGAUUUUAAAUCUCGUAUUCUGAAGUGGUACUUCUGAUUCUCACAUGAUUUUUCCAUCUUUCAGCUAAAGUUUUUCUGUGAUCUCUUCCGUAUUAGAUGGGAGUUCACCCGUAGUCGCACAAAAGGGCGUGCUUUAGAGAUGAUGGACAAACUGGUAUGAUCUGUGAGCCUUUUCUUCUUAAAUAUUUUGUUACCUAAAUCAUUUUCAUUCAAAUUUACAAGAGUUGCCUAUGGAUCUAUAGAAGAUUCCAAACUUUCUGCAGCUAGUAGUUUCUUGGUUUCCGUACUGUCCAUCGGGUAAAGAUUGAAUGUGCAUCAUUUAUAAACUUGUCGGGAUCUUCCUUCUUAGCUUUGAGAUUGCUCCUGCAUAUAGGUAGAACCAAAGGCACAAAUGGUACUUGUUGCAAACACAAGCUCAUCCAACACUUCUGAUGUCUGCCCUUCAAUAAACCAAGUCAUUCAUACACAUGAUUCUACUAUUGGUGAUGCCUCUGAUGUUUUUGUGACCCCAAAAUUAUUGGGGAAUAGUCAUGAAUCUGAAUCUGGAGUCCAAUGCAUUCAUGCUGGUGGCUCAGCAGCCCAUUUAAAGGCAAUCCAACAGGCAGUGAUCUUGUCGAGGUGCCUUCUAAUAGAAAAGAGCUCACGGCAAGAUGAAAUGCAAAGUAAGUUGUUUUAUGGUUGGGCGGUGUGUGGUCCUCUUGUUAAAGGCCAUAAGAUGUUAAGCAUAUUGCUAUUUAAUUUUUAAAUCAUUCUCAGUAAUAAUUCCUUUAGUAGAUUGAUGAUAAGAGAUUACAUUACAGAUGAUAACUGAGCACAAUUUUUGUAGUUGUAUCCCUGUACAUCCAUCUUAAUAUCCUCAUUAUAUUCACAUGCCUUUCACGGGUGUUAUUUCUGGAUGCUGAAUGCUUUGUUCCACUUUUGGAAACCAAAUGCUUUGUUACACAAAGCUGAGCUGGUUGAAAAGCUAGCUGAUGAGGUCAACAUGUCCCUUAAGUAAUUUGAGGAUGAACACUGUGUUCCCGAAAGUCUUACUCUAAUGAUACUUAAAAAAGCAAUGAGAAUGGAUGUUGCAGCGGCUUUACUGAACUCAACCCCAGUUCCAAACAUGGAACAUGUGAAAACCAAAAAUGCAUUGUUUUUUUUCUCUUUAUGACUUCUCUAGUUGGGGAAUGUACUAGAUAUUCACCUAAUCAGUAGGCCUUGAAGGGAUCCCAUGUUAGCCCCUUGAUGUUGGUCUGUAACUAAGUAAAUACUUGACCUUGAAAAAGCUUUUGGAGGCAUCAGUUUCUCUCUGACUGUGUGCUACUUUUUGGAUCUGUUGAUUUGGUCAUUUGCUGAUUUAUAGUUUGUUUUCUGAUUCAGGAUGGGAUAUGGCUCCAUACAUAGAGACAAUAGAUUCACAGCAGUCAUCAUGCUUCAUUGUAAGUAUAUAUACAAUACAGCAUCAGUUUUUCUUGAUUUUAAAUCUCAUAUUCUGAAGUGGUACUUCUGAUUCCCACAUGAUUUUUCCAUUUUUCAGCUAAAGUUUUUCUGUGAUCUCUUACGUAUUAGAUGGGAGUCCACCCGUAGUCGCACAAAAGGGCGUGCUUUAGAGAUGAUGGACAAACUGGUAUGAUCUGUGAGCCUUUUCUUCUUAAAUAUUUUGUUACCUAAACCAUUCUCAUUCAAAUUGACAAGAGUUGCUUAUUUAUCGAUAGAAGAUUCCAAACUUCUGCAGCUAGUACUUUAUUGGACCCAAAAGCUUUUUUGCUUUUUCUAAGCUGCUAAUCAAGACUAGGUUUCUCUCCCUUAUAUCGCUAGAUAUGCCAUUAAUCGUUUGAUUUAAUUGUCUAGAGAGAUUAGAUACUUGCAUCUUUGCUUUUCACUUCACAAGUGAUUUCAUGUGCUAUCCUGUAUUCUGGUUCAAGAUUUUUGAUGGUUGCUUACUAUCAUAUUUUGCUUUGUUUCAGGUUGAGGGCAUUUCUAACUCUUCUCCCGGUGUGACUCAAAGUAUUCCCUUUUGUUAUGUGAUUUGCAUUCCAACUAUUCCUGCCCUGCGAAAGUAAAACUAUUUCUUCUGCAUCUUUGAAUGAUUGUGAUUUAAUUUUCUUGUCAUUUUGCCAACUAUCAUUAUGCUGUCAUUGUUUCAUAUCUUAUUUGACAUAUGUUGAUUUGGAUAGAUUUUAAUUGCUCUGUUUAUUCUCUUUAUAAUCUGUCUAUUUCGAUUUUUCUUCAUUUUAGGGAAUAUGCUAAACUUUUAGUAAGCCGUGGCUUGAUUGGAGAGGCUAUUAAAAAUUUUGAGGAUCUGGUGUUGUGGGAUAGUCUAAUACUGCAAUUGGUAUGAUGUCAUAGAUAACCAUUACCCUAAUCUCUCUGUCUAUCUCUCUCUCUCUCUCUUUCGUGUUGCUAAUGGGAGUUGGUUUUGUGUAUGAUGUAAAAAACAGCCUAUUGGGGAAGAAAGCAGCAGCUGUUGAACUAAUAAAAGCAAGGCUGUCUGAAAAGCCUAAUGACCCUACAUUAUGGUUUGUUGAUGAGCCUUUUCUAUGAUCCAUUUUAUAGUUACUUCUCAUUUCAGUUAAAUCCAUUGUUGAUGUCACUUAUUGCAAUCUAGGGAUGAUUGUUCAUUGGAUGUGAGGAUAUUGUCAGAAGAAAAUGAAACCUUUUAAUUUUAUCUUUUACUUGCUGUAGCCGACUUAAAAGGUCACUGUGCGUUCUUACUGAUUGCUUUUGGUCUUGCAUUUGAGUCAGUGGAUUUUAUACUCAUAUUCUGACAUGUAUUGUUAGCCUUCUGACGGUUCUGCACCUUGGUCCUAUAUUAUCUUCAGCAGUAUUAUCUAAAAGAUCAUUUUUUGCCGAAGAAUAUUUGCAUUCUAAACUAGAAAAGGAGGGGCCGCCCGGGCCCGGGGGGGGGGGGGGGGGUGUGUGUGUGUGAAGGAAGCAUCAGGAGGUUGUUUUCCACUUAUCCUCUUCCCUGCCUGCAUUUUAGAUGAUUCUGAUGCACCAGGUGCCGUGAAAUGGUUGAGAAAUACAUACCAUCAAGUGAAUUCUGAAAAUCAUAUCCUUUUUGAGAAUAUUUGGUGCUAGACAUUUGAAUAUGUGGCCACAAUUUAAACAAUAAAGAUUUUCUGCACUGAUUUCUUAUAAUGGAUAUAUGCAUGUAAUUAUAAUAUGAUAUCUUUUGAUUAUUGACCCAUUUGUUUAGAAAGAAGGGGAAAAAAAAAACAUGGUUGAAAGACAACUGUUACUUGACCUUAUCUUGGUCUGUUCACUGCCGUUUGUUUCCUAUAACUUCUGGUGAUAAUGUAGCCAGAAUGAUGAGUUGAAUUGUGGUUUACUGACUUGUGAUACAUUUUGUAGGUGUUCAUUUUUGUUUUCUAAAUUUGUUAUCUAAAGGAAUGACAAGUUGACAACUCAGCCUCUCUCUCUCUCUCUCUCUCUCUCUCUCUCUGUGUGUCUGUGUCAGGGAUCUGAUUUGUGGAAAGAAAGAGAUCGGUUUGAAAGGUUUUCAUAUGCAUCCUUGGAACUUUGUAAGGUUUACAUGGAAAUUUCUUCCUCUUCUGGUAGCCGUCAAGAACUCUUUGCUGCUGAGAUGCACCUGAAGAACGUACUUAAACAAGUAAAAUACCUUAUAAUUCGAUAUUUAAGACACUUACAGAUGGUAUUACAUUGACAGCAGUAAAACAAAGAAGCAACUGAAAGUUAUCUUCAUAUGAGAAUGAAAGCUUUUCAGCAGCAUAAGCCUUUCACUAUUCAAUUCCAAACACGUUCCUCAACAUGAUAACAAAUUCGUAGACCUUUUCUGGGUCUGGAAGGAUCCUGUAACAGUUUCUCUUUGCAUGCACUUGUUCAUCCAUGCUGAGAAUUUGGGGCACUCAUUCUCAACCUUAAAUCCCCCAAAUUCCUCAACCGCGUAAAACCAUCAAGUCAGUGGAAUGGCAAUCACAUCAACGAAUCCAAAGCUGUCCCCGCCAAAGAAAUCCUUCUCCCCUAAAGCUCCCUCAAGUUGCUUCAAAAUCUCUAUAAAUUCAUUCUUCGCCGGGGACCUCGCCCUUCGUUUUGCAUAUGUUGCAGACUGGAUCGAAUACCUGCCAAAAAAGUGGUGUCAUCUUUUAAGUUCGCAUUUAGAAAGAUACAAACAUUUACACUUGAGAAUUAUAGACUGACCUUCUUGUCAAUAAAAUCUGCCCAGAACCUUGCCUUAGCUCUCUCAGAAGCACAGGAUGGGAGAAGUGAUGGCGAAGGCCAAGUCUCGUCAAUUUAGUUGACUAUAAUAGUGGAUUAACACAAUGGUUCCCCAUCGUGCAGCAAAACUGGGACUUUCUUGUAGAUGGGGUUUGAUUUGAGCAACAGGUCACUCUUGCCCCCGAACAAGUUCUCAGCUCUGGCUUCAUAUCCAACUCCUUUCUCAGCCAAUGCAAUCUUUGCUCUCAAGCAAAAUGGGCUAACCCAACAGUCCAAAAGAACAACCUCUCCCUUUGACAUAUUCAACUAUCAAGGUUGGUAUUUAUAUAGGAGAAAAGAUGAAAUUCCCAAAGAUUGUGUCGCAAUCAAGGUUUGUUCGUUGGCACUUCGAUAAAGGAUGUGGCCUUGUUCUUAUCAUUUCUUAGUUUUUGAAGCUAAAUGUUUUACUUGGCUUUCAACAGGCACAAGAACAAGUUUGUCUUGUGUAAAUAAAAUAAAACCAUAAAAUUCCAUUAUUAGUGUAAAACCAAAAUAAUUAAAAUAAUAAAAGUGAGUUAGUCGUGCGUGUGGACCUCCUCUUUAUGAGUUUGUUAUCACACCAUAUUUGGUUUCUAUAAAUAAAAUAACUAAAACUCUCUUAUCUAAGUAAGAAUAUUGUUAUUUUGAAAUACCAACUCAAUCUCUAACAAAUCUUGAGAUAUAACUUAAGAUUCUUGAGCUUCCAAUAUAAAACAAGUAAGAUUAACAUAACUUUUUCACUUCCUUCCAUCAAAGAAGGGAAUAAGUUAUAUAAUUUAAUUUAUGUUUAAUUAAAUUAUUUUAAAUGGGUAAUAAUUAUAAAUUUUUCCACUUUAUUUAAUUAACUAGAUAAGACCAUAUUGUAAAUUCUUACAUUUAUCACUUUAAUCUCUUUCCUUUUUCAUUCCAACUCCGGUACAAACUAUUCCUUUUCAAAAAGUUGUACUCAAAUUGAUAAGUCUUGGAAGACCAAAACACUAUUUAAAAUUUAUUAUUUGCUUUAGUAGCUUUCAUGGGUGCAAGGUAAGGAACAAAACUCGGUGGAUUUUAUGACAAAAGCUUUAUCUUAUGUAGCACUUUUUUCGAUAUCUCGAACUUUACUCUUUAAGAAUGUUGUAUAAUAUUUCUACAAUAACAACAAACAAAUUAUAACCCUGAAAGAUCUAUAUACACCUCGAUCUCUAGCUAGUUCUCUACAAAAUAUGGCACUAAGUAACAAUGUAAUCGGAGCCAUCAACUUUGUUGCCGUACUUCUUUCAAUCCCAGUCAUCGGUGCCGGAAUCUGGCUUGCCACCGAGGCAGACAAUUCUUGUGUCAAGCUUCUACAAUGGCCAGUCAUUAUUUUGGGAAUCUUGAUUCUAGUCGUGGCUCUAGCAGGCUUUAUUGGAGGAUUUUGGCGCAUCCCUUGGCUCCUUAUACUUUAUCUCGUUGCCAUGCUCAUUCUUAUAAUAUUGCUGGCUUGUCUAGUUGUUUUCAUUUACAUGGUCACGAUUAAGGGCUCAGGUCACCUUGCACCCAGUAGAGCGUACUUGGAAUACCGCCUCGAUGAUUUUUCUGGAUGGCUACGUAGAAGAGUUCGAAGCCCUUACAAAUGGGAUCGGAUCAAAAGCUGUCUCAGCUCGACACAGAUGUGCCCUGAGUUGAACCAUGUAAAAAUGAGUUGCAAAUACUGUUUGGUUACUGAGAAACAGAGAGAAAAUUGAUGAAUAUUCCAGAUCUUAUUAUUUCAUUAAUUACAAAUGAGUAAAUCACAAGUCUUUAUACUUGCAUUUCAUUAGUAAAAGCUAUUAACGAAACUGAUCUGUAUUAACUAACUAAUACUAACUAACUAAUCACGCGAACUCUCAUUGCUGCAUAACAGAAUCAGCUGACUCAGCAUUGUUGACGUGGCAUUGCUGACGCACCUUAGCUUCUGACUUCUUCUCUCUUCUUAGCUCAGCACAAUGAGCUUUCUUCACAGCCCCUCUCAAACUCAAGGGGCAUAAAUGCACAUUGAGUUUGUUCCUCAGAUAAAUGAACUGAGAAGAGUUUAAGGGCUUAGUCAUUAUGUCUGCUAUCUGUUCUGUACUAGGAACAUAUAGAAUCUUAAGAUCUCCAGUUAGAACCUUAUCUCUGAUAAAAUGCAGAUCGAUUUCUAUGUGUUUUGUUCUUGAGUGAAACACUGGAUUAUGAGCAAGAUCUUUGGCACUUACAUUGUCACACCAUAUAACUGGUUUCUCCACACGACAUAGAUUAAUCUCAAGAAACAAAGAUUUUAUCCAUGUUAUCUCUGAAACAGCUGCUGCAAGUGCUCUGUAUUCACUUUCUGCAGAAGAUUUUGUAACUACAGAUUGCUUCUUUGAGGACCAUGAGAUUAAGUUGUUUCCUAGGUACACACAAUAUGCACCAGUGGAUCUUCUGUCAUCAAGAUCACUUCCCCAGUCUGCAUCUGUAAAUGCUGUAACCUUCAGCUCACCUUUCUUAACAAAUUUCAGCCCAUAGUCUUGUGUUUCCUUCAGAUAUCUAAGCACACGUUUGCAUGCCAUAAGAUGUUGAAGUGUUGGUGAAGAUACAUACUGACUUAGCUUAUGAACUGAAUAGGCAAUUUCAGGUCUUGUCAAAACUAAAUACUGAAGACCUCCUACAAUGCUUCUGUAAUGAGAUGGAUCUUCUAUGUAAUAACCCAUUUCCCCUUCUAUAUUCUUCUGCAAUCUGUAAUCUUUGCUGCUGCUCAUUGGUGUAUCUAUUCCUUUACACUCGAGCAUAUCAGCUUUAGCCAGCAAGUCUCUGAUAUACUUCCUUUGUGAUAGAUACAUACGGCCAAGAUCAUACAAAACUUCAAUUCCAAGAAAAUAAGAUAACUUUCCCAGAUCCUUUAAUGCAAAUGCAGAACUGAAUAGCUUGAUAAAAUCUUCCAGCUCAUCACAAUUUGAUCCUGUAAUCAAUAUGUCAUCCACAUAUAUCAGGAUUAAAAUAAUUGAUCUUUUAUUCUUUUUCAAGAACAAAGAUGAGUCAGACUUAGAAUUCUCAAAUCCCCAUUGCACAAGACUGUUUCUCAGCUUGUCAAAACAUGCUCGUGGAGCUUGUUUCAAACCAUAAAGUGCCUUGUGAAGCUUGCACACAAAAUCAGGUCUUUUGGAAUCAAUAAACCCUUCUGGUUGACUCAUAUACACCUCCUCAAUUAAAUCUCCAUUUAAGAAUGCAUUAUUCACAUCAACCUGUCUUAUUUGCCACUGAUUCAUUACUGCUAGACUCAGGACUAUUCUAACUGUUGCUGCUUUCACCACUGGACUGAAAGUCUCAAAGUAGUUCACUCCUUCUAUUUGCUGAAAUCCUUUAGCAACCAACCUUGCCUUAUAUUUUGCAACACUUCCAUCAGUAUUUGAUUUCACUCGAAAUACCCAUUUGUUGCCAACAAGUUUGUGAUGUUCUGUUCUUGGCACAAGUGUCCAGGUACCAUUUGACAUUAGUGCAUCAUAUUCAGCUUUCAUUACUUGAAACCAUCUCUCAUCAUUGAUAGCCUCCUGAACUGUAUCUGGUUCUUUAUGCAACAAUACUGCAGUAUAUACCUUUGGCUUAAAGAUACCUGCUUUCCCUCUAGUGAUCAUGGGGUGUUGGUUUAGUGAUGGUGAGGUUGUCAUUGUUUGAUUGAGAUGAGGGAUAUUGUUAUUGUGUUGGUUUUGUGAAUUUUCAUUUGAGGGCUGUUCUAAUGUUGUGUCAGGUAUAGAAGGUAACAUUAUAGGUGCAGAUGGAUUAUUUCUGUCUGUGUUUGAGGGUUGUUGAUCUGUUACCUGUGUUGAGACUACUGUUGAAGGAAAAAUGUUGCCACUGGAGUAUGCUUGAGAGAAAGAUUCAUUGCUGGUGACUGAAAAAUCUGUUAUGACAGGUAAUGUUGAUAACUGGAAAACUUGUAUAGGAGUAAUUGUGCAAUAUGUAUCAGACUUAGAUUUAUUUGAAUUAUGAAAGCUAGGAUCAGCUGCAAAUGGAUAAGAGUGUUCAUCAAAGACAACAUGCCUAGCUAUAUAUAUAUGUCCAGAGGGGUGAUAACACUUGUAGCCUUUAUGAGAUGGACUAUAACCAAGAAAAAUGCAUUUGGUUGUGUGAUAGUCAAACUUGUGCUUAUUGUAAUCUCUCAGAUAUGGAUAACAAGCACAUCCAAAGCAUUUCAGCAUUUUAUAAUCAGCCUUGUGUUUAUAAAGCUUUUCAUAUGGAGUAGACAUCUUAAGUGCAGAAGUAGGGAGUCUAUUAAUGUGAUAGACUGAGGCAUGAAAAGCAUCCCACCAGAAUUGAAAAGGGAGUUUGGCUUGAGCUAGAAGUGUCAGUCCUAAUUCUACAAUUUGUCUGUGUUUUCUUUCAACAAGUCCAUUCUGAUGAUGAGUGUAAGGGCAAGAGUGUCUAAAGAGAAUGCCACAUUCAUUUAGAAAGGCAGUAAAUGGUCUGUAUUCUCCCCCCCAGUCAGAUUGUAGAAUUUUGAUAGAAGUUUGAAAUUGUUUUUCAACUUGAAGUUUGAACAGCUUGAACACUUCUAGAGCUUCUGAUUUAAGUUUCAAAGGAUAAAUCCAGGUGUAUCUGGUAUGAUCAUCCACAAAGCUAAUGUAAUAUCUAAAGCCAUCUCUAGAAUAUGCUGGUGAGGGACCCCAUAGAUCAGUGUGAACAAGUUCUAGAGCUGAUGUGGAUUUGAUAUCAGUGAUUGGAAAAUGAAGUUUAUGAAAUUUUCCUAGUUGACAUGCUUCACAGAAAUGCUUUGUAGCUUGAUUAACAAUAUUUGUAGAGCACAAAUUGGGAUGCACAAGCUUAAGCAAAUGAAUUAGACUUUGAGUAUUAGGAUGACCAAAUCGUUUGUGGAGUAAAGACAUUUUAUUGAAUGAAUUAGUGCUACAAGUAUUCUUAUUUGACUGAAAACAUUUUCCAGAACAAGAACUAUUAACUGAAGUGCUGAAAUAACACUGAGAUAGCAUGGACACAGGCUUAUUUAUUGAGCUCUGAGAUAGAAAAGAGGUAAAUGUAGAUUGUGAUGAUGAACUCAGCUGCAAUUUGUAUAAACCUUUCUCAGCAAUACCCAGUAGCAGAAUUUUCCCUUUCAGUAUAUCCUUCACAAAGCAAACAGAACCAAGGAAUUCAACAGAUAAGUCAUUAUCAGUGGUCAGUCUAGAAACACUUAUUAAAUUCUUUGUAAUAGAUGGAACAAGCAGUAUAUCUUUAAGUGCAAUGCAUGUACUUGCAUAUUGUAUUUUAGAGCUUUGAAUUGUAAGAUUGGCAUUACCAACAUGUGUGAUUGACAAACCUUUACCAUCACCAAUGAUAAGCUUGUCAUUACCUCUAAACUCAUUGCUGACAUGCAUAUUUGCCAUACUAUUUGUUAGAUGAUGUGUAGCUCCACUGUCAAGGUACCAUCCUUCAUCUGUUGGUCCUUCAAAGUUAGCAGCAUAAGCAGCUCCAGCUCCACUCACAGGUGAGCUCAUUGAGUCAGAUAUGUAUGAAGAAUAUGGUGUAUUAUACACGUGAGGUAUCCCUGAAUAAUCAGCUGCAGCAGGCCAUGAAUCUUCAGUAGGUGCAUUAAAAUAUGUCAUAUAGGCUGAUCUCUGAUUUCUUCCUCUUUUCAUGUGUUGAGGUAUAUAAUUUUCUUCAAACCUAUGCCAACAUUCUACUGCUGUGUGUCCAGAUUUAAAACAGAUCUGACAAACAACAGUCUGUUCCUCAUUACCAUCAGAAUUCGACAAACCAGAAUUAACACUAUAUUGUCCUCUCAUGAAUUGUGCCUGCUUAUUAUUGUUUCCAAUCAUUUGACCUCUGCCAAGAUUAUUACCAAGAUUUCCAGAUCCAGAGGGAAAGCCUCUUGGAUGAGAAUUGAUAAACAUUCCUCUUCCAGUAUGAAAAUUGUUUCUUCCAAAUUGAUUUCCACCAUGAAAUCCUCCAUUAUAUCCACCUCUUCGAGCACUACCUCUUGUUUGAGCAUAAUAAGCAUUCAUCAUACCAUAGCCAUUAUUAUUAUGAGAAACAUUAGCAAGAUUUGCAUUGAACAUCUGUUUUUCAUUUAGACUCUGUUCUAAUCUUGUUUCAUGCGUGAGCAGCAAUGCAUAGGAAUCAUCAAAAUCUAGCUUACUAGCAGUAAUGAAAGUUGCUAAAUCUAGAUAGCCUGGUCCAAGACCAUUAAGGAUCUGUUGUAACAGAUCUUUGUCAGAAACUGGACUACCAGCACAGGCUAAUUUAUCUGCUAUUUGUUUCAUUUUCAAACAAUAAUCUUCUACAUUUAGUGAAUCUUUUCUCAAAACACUCAUCUCAUAUUUGAGUUGAAGAACUCUAGCUUCAGAUUUUGCACCAAACUUUUUCUCCAAUGUUUUCCACACAUCAUAUGCAGUAUUACAAGAAUGAACAUGACUGAGAAUACCUUCAGUGAUUGAGCUUAAUAGCCAGCUUAGUAAUGUCUGAUCCUGUGACCUCCAGAUUAUAUAUUCUGGAUUUUCAACUUGUUGUGUAACUCUUCCCAUUGUUUCAGCAUAGCUUCCUGAAGUAAGAAAUUGAGUAGGUGCUGCCUUUUCUCCAUUGAUGUAGCCUUCAAGUCUGUUUCCUCUUAUAGAAGCUAAUACUUGAUUUCGCCAGAGCAUAUAAUUGGAUCUAUCCAAUUUGAUUGGCGUAAUGAAUGAGAAGGUAGUUUGUAUUGAUUGAUUCAUGUUUGUUGUGUUUGGAUUUGUGUUUAAAUUGCUUGAGCUUACCAUAUUUCUGGCUCUGAUACCAUGUAAAAAUGAGUUGCAAAUACUGUUUGGUUACUGAGAAACAGAGAGAAAAUUGAUAAAUAUUCUAGAUCUUAUUAUUUCAUUAAUUACAAAUGAGUAAAUCACAAGUCUUUAUACUUGCAUUUCAUUAGUAAAAGCUAUUAACGAAACUGAUCUGUAUUAACUAACUAAUACUAACUAACUAAUCACGCGAACUCUCAUUGCUGCAUAACAGAAUCAGCUGACUCAGCAUUGUUGACGUGGCAUUGCUGACGCACCUUAGCUUCUGACUUCUUCUCUCUUCUCAGCUCAGCACAAUGAGCUUUCUUCACAAACCAGAGUUAUAGGAUGGCUCAAGAUUUCUUCAAUGCACAUAUUACCCCUUUACAGGUAAUUAUAAUUAAUUAAGUUCUCGAUUACCAUUAAUUUUAUUUUAUUUUUUUCCAUUAAUUUCUAGAAAUUAAGAUUUAUUAGAACUCUAAAGUUAAAUUCUGAUUAAAAUUUUAAUUUUUAACGUACACAUUCCUCUUUAUAAUUAUGACCGUACGUAAUUUUAUAGCAGAGGAUAAUUCCUACCCAUUAAUUAAGCUAACCCACACGCCCAUGGAACAAUGAAGAAGUAGCUAAUAAAGUAAAAACACUGUAUUAGAUUCGGAAAACCAAGUUUCAAAUCUUCUUUUCAAAAAUAUUCUUCGUCUUUAUCUUUAUUGCGUGCCUUUGUGCUUUUUUUUUUCUAUUUAUUUAUUUUUCUUGUUUACAGUCUGGAUGUUGUAAGCCUCCGACAGAGUGUGGUUACACAUUUGUAAACCCAACAUAUUGGAUAAGUCCAAUUAACAACGCGGCGGACAUGGAUUGCCUACAGUGGAGCAAUGACCAAAUGCAGCUUUGCUAUAAUUGUGAUUCAUGCAAAGCAGGAUUACUUGCUAAUCUGAAAAAGGAGUGGAGAAGAGUAGAUAUCAUAUUACUCGUUACUCUUGUUGCUUUGAUAUGGGUUUAUCUGAUUGGAUGUUGUGCUUUUAGGAACGCCAAAACUGAAGACCUCUUUCGCAAGUACAAGCAAGGCACUUACACGUAAUUGUUAGCUGCACGUAAACUCUCUUUGAUAGUAAUAUUAAUGUGUAAUUAGGGACUGGCUUGAAUUGUUAUUUUGAUAAUUUUAUGAAUUUUUUGUUUAAGAUCCGUCUUCUUGGUUACUUACAUUUGGUUAAAUUAUGUGUGGGGUUUGAUUUGAUGACGACAUAAUCUUGAGUUGUGCGUGCGUGAUUUGUGGAGGGCGCCGAAAGUAGGUGGCUUUUGAAUAUUUGCUUUUUAAGGAGAAGGGAUUUCGCACUUCCGCUCCCUGCUUGCUCGCAUAGGGCAUUAAUUGUAGCUUUGAAAAAAGUUCUGCUUCAGCAUGCGCAAAAGUCAAAGAAAUGGGACAUGUGCUCAUGCAUUAUGCAGCCAGCAUAUGGGUGAUAGCAGACGUAUUUAAUCUUUUAGUCUUUGUUGACAACUCAGCCUCUCUCUCUCUCUCUCUCUCUCUCUCUCUCUCUCUCGCUGUGUCUCUGCGUCAGGGAUCUGAUUUGUGGGAAGAUAGAUAUCGGUUUAAAAGGUUUUCAUAUGCAUCCUUGGAACUUUGUAAGGUUUACAUGGAAAUUUCUUCCUCUUCCAGUGGCCGUCGAGAACUCUUUGCUGCUGAGAUGCACCUGAAGAACGUCCUUAAACAAGUAAAACACCUUAUAAUUCGAUAUUUAAGACACUUACAGUUGGUUUAAAGAUUGCAUUUUCCGUUUCUGUUUUUGACUGGUUCAGGGUAAAACUUUUUCUCACUGUGUUAGAGUGCAUUUCUGUUAUUAUAUAGUACCUGUCAAAAUUUUCCAUUCCAAUUAGUUACAGAGUGAAUUCUGUAAGGUGUGGCGCCCCCUUGAAGGCCAGGAGAGCCGUGUUUAGGGCUUAUCACCCCUCCAAGGUGUAAUCCCUUGUAUCCCUGUAGCUUAUACCAGAGGUCCGGAGUACUGCAGACUUGUGGAGAUACGGGGCUAUGAGUUUCCAUCUUUCGGACAUCACAACACUUGUUCUGGAGAAAUUAUGGGUUUAUUUCAGAACAGAGGAAGGUUACUUCAUUAAGAGGAAUGAGAGAUUUACAAUACACUAGAUUUAGGCUCCAAGACUCGAUGCCUAGAUACAAACCAAGGGUUCCCUUUUAUAGGCACAAGGGAACCACUAUUACACACUGUAGUCAUUAUUGAUCCUUAUCUCUAAGGAAUCUAUUUUACAACUCACUCCUUACUUUAUGUCACACUCAUACUCUCAUCCUUAUCACAAAGGAUGGUACACAAUACAUACGAAUACAAAUACAUAUAUUAUUAUUAUUAGAGAUACAAAUACAUAUAUUAUUAUUAUUAAAUAUACAAAUACAUAUACGAAUACAAAGGAUGGUACACAAUACACUCUGAUAAUAAUAAUAUAUGUAUUUGUAUUCGUAUGUAUUGUGUAUCAUCCUUUGUGAUAAGGAUGAGAGUGUGAGUGUGACAUAAAGUAAGGAGUGAGUUGUAAAGUAGAUUCCUUAGAGAUAAGGAUCAAUAAUGACUACAGUGUGUAAUAGUGGUUCCCUUGUGCCUAUAAAAGGGAACCCUUGGUUUGUAUCUAGGCAUCGAGUCUUGGAGCUUAAAUCUAGUGUAUUGUAAAUCUCUCAUUCCUCUUAAUGAAGUAACCUUCCUCUGUUCUGAAAUAAACCCAUUUUGGUAUCAGAGCCAUAUUUCCCAAAAGGAAACCCCUGGGUGUGCAACAAUAUUAUGCUCUGUGGUUGCCGAAACACUUCGGAUCCUCCACAUCAGAAAGUUGUUGAAUACUGAUCUACCUGUCAAAAUUUUCCAUUCCAAUUAGUUACAGAGUGAAUUCUGUAAGGUGUGGCGCCCCCUUGAAGGCCAGGAGAGCCGUGUUUAGGGCUUAUCACCCCAAAGAAAACCCUUUGUUUUCUCUUAGCCAUGGAAAACUCAAACAGUAAUAGAUCUGGAAACCAAACAGUUUCUGACCAAGGAUCCACUUCGGCUAUCAGAGUUCUAACUGAUAGUUCACCCUCUAUAAACUUCCAUUACGAAACCCAAGAGGAUGAAAGCAGUGAGAGAGCGGUUCAGUCCUUUAGACUUGAUCCGUUAGAUCCCUAUAGAUACUACCAUAUCAAUUCUACUCUUAAUCAAUUAAGAGCCAUAAUUCCUAUUAGACAACCCAAGCUUAAAACCAUCUAUAAAUCCUCUGAGAUUACUGUCCAGUUCAUCUCCUCCAGUUCUAAAGAAACAUACCUUCCUAUAAUCUCUACCAAUGAGGUUACAAGGUAUAAGCUACAGGGAUACAAGGGAUUACACCUUGGAGCAAUCUAGAUAGGAAUACAACCAUUGUUCCUAGCUGGAAAAGAUAUCACAUGCUUCAUUGCCAUCCUUGACACUAGAUGGCAAACUUUUGAGAAAGCCUUGAUCACUGCUGUCGAAGCAGGACUCAACCAAGGUCAUGUUGUUCUCCAAGUUGAACCCAACUUCACCCUUGACAUACACAAGCCAUUUCUCACAGAUGCCAUUAAGGUAUUAAUUCAGGUCAAUGGUCUAACCAUAAAACCUGAUGAAUCUGCCUUGGCAAUUCACCACACCAUGACCUAUAAAGUCCAAACCCAUCUGUUCUCUAUGAGCAGCUCUGGCAGGCCCAUUACCAGAUUUCUUGCUGGUGAUGGCAGAGUCUUUCAACCUCGGACUUAUAGGCAAAAUCAGCUCAUUUUUCUACCUCAAUGGAUCAAUGAGUAUGAAAAAAACAGCAAGCCUCAACAAAUCCAUGAGGUUCCAAAGAUAAGCCGGUUACAAGAAGGAAGGGUAUCAGUCUCUUUUCCCACUGAGACUAAAGCCCUCUAUCCAUGUGAAAAAUGCCAGCUUGAAGGAAGGCAUCCCUCCUUGUGCACUCAUAUGCCAAGAAGAAUCACCUCCUGCAGAAUCAUGGGUCCAAUUAACAUGAUCACCACUCCGGAUCUUGAUAAUGAAUUCCUCAAGGAUAUUCCUGGAGGAAUGUAUGUUGCCAAAUGGGUAAUACAAAAAACCAACCCAACUGAAUUUGGCCCAAUUGAGAAGGCGAUCAACUGGUCAAACAUCAAUGCUGUUGAACAGAACCAAGCGUUGGGAGACAUCAUGGUUACCCAACAGCAAAUUCUUGCUGACUUAGCUGUUAUCAGAAAACAGCUAAAGAAAACCAGAAAACAGCAUAAGGUGACUACCCAGCAGUUUUCCCAAAUGCAUGACAGUGCCUCCAGAUCUAUCAACAUGAUCGUAAUGACCGGAGCUGCAGAUGAGGACGGAAUGAGAAGAACCAGAGAAAGCUAUCAAAGGACAAAAGUGUCCAGGCACUGGAAGAGCAAGCCCACAAAGCCAUGGCAUGUCUGGGAAGAAAAUGCAUCUGGCAACUGUCAAAAGGCAUUUUGGAGAAGCUAUGCUCCACCUCCACAAUAUCCAUGGCCCACUAAGGCUACAGGAUGGGAUGAGGAUAAAGAUACGGAUACUGAAACAAGUAUCUCCUCUGAUGACCAGAUCCCUCUUAUACCAAUUCUUAUGCAAAGAGCAAAUCCUCCAAAUCCAUUCUAUGUGGAUACUCGAGCUAGAUUUGCAGCAUCCACACCAACACAGGGUCAAACCUCUGAUCCUACAAGACAAGAGCAAACUCAACACCCAUCAGGAACAACCCAGUUCACUGCCCCAGAAUUCGCUAAUCCUGCUGCCCAACCAGAAGCAUCUGGAGUAGAAUCCACAAAUCAAGAAGACAGGGCACCACAUAUUGAUGAGGUAAAUCAGGGAGACGAAUGGGAAACCCGUGUCCAACUUGGGCAUUCUACGACGGGAAAAAUGUUCUGGAACAUCGAUAGAAUGAAGCCAAAAGAAAUAUUGGCUUACUUUGAAAAGAUGGUAGCUUGGUAUGAAGGAGAAUGCCAACGAACUCCCCAGUUGAGCAGAAGAUCGGCAGCAAUGAGACUUGUUGCAGGAUUCGUUGGAUCAUUGAGAAGAUGGUGGGGAAGAAAGCUCAGCAGAGAACAAAAGGAAUUCAUACUCAGCAGAGAAGACCCUUGUGGAAGCUUGGUAGAAAAUCUAUCCUUGGAUUUUCUCGGCCAACACACAAGAGAAGAAGAAGUAGCUGAAAAACAAUUUCUCCAGAACAAGUGUUGUGAUGUCCGAAAGAUGGAAGAGUACUACCUAGAGCAAGAAAGGUUGUACUACAUCUUUGACAAACAAACUGACACCAUCCACAGAACAUUCGUGCUAAACAUGCCAGGCCCAGUAGCGGAAAUGAUGGAGGCUAAAUUCAAAGCUGAUGCAAUUGUUGAUUUAGCACAGCUUAGCCUUGCUCAGCUCUAUCAGAUAUCUAUGGAGCUGAUCCAAAGUCAUUGCAGAUCUCAAGACUUAAGAAGGCACAUGAAGCAGAUUGAGAAAUCCUCUCUGCAAAAAUUCUGUAAUGAGGAACCAAACAAAUUUGGUUGCCACCAUACAGACAAAAUGUGCUCUUGCAAGAACAACAGGCAGAAAAGGCCAAAGAAACCCUGGAAGCCCUACAAAGGAAAGAAAUACCGUUUCAUCAAAAAACGAAAACAAAAGAAAGGCUCGGGGAGAUGUUUCAUUUGCGGAAAGAAAGGUCACUAUGCCAAACAGUGCAAAUCCAAGAAAAGACUUCCAGCAAAACUUCUCCAGAUGAUCCAGCAGGAAGAUUUUGAUGAUGACAUCUAUACCUGGUCAGAUAGCCCUACGGUGUUGUAUACACAAUGGAUAAAUAUCCUCUUUCAGACGACGAUGAUACAGAUUCUCUUUCUAGCACUGACAGUGAUUCUGAUGAUGAUCCUGUCAUGACCAUCCAUGAGCCUCUCCAAGCUAACCUGGCAAUGGCCCCUGCCUCUCUCUUCAGACCACAUAUAAAGGUUAUCCUCAACCCAUCUGAGGAUAAACAGGUAGCACUCACUGCUCUUAUUGACACUGGAGCAAUGUGCUCAUUCAUUCGAGAAGCUUGUGUUCCUUCCACCUUUUAUGUUCCUACUAAGGUCUCGUUUGGCUCCGCUAGUGGAAGUAACUUCUCCAGUAAAAAGAUUACCCGGCCUAUAGAAAUCCAGCCCUUUAUGAUAAGGCAUGGCUUCUUUGCCUUUGAUUAUUCAGGCGAAGAUAUCUUGCCAGGCACCGACUUUUUAAGUCUGAUUGCCCCUUUUGCCUUCUUUCCCGAUGGCUUCUCUUAUACCAUUCGGAAUCCUCACACGGGCACCACUAACACUUUCUGGGUACCCUGGGUUGAAAAACAAUCCAUUUUUGGGGAGGGUGGAAAACUACAAAAUUACACCAUCCAUAAAUAUGAACCCCAAAUUAAAGAACUCCUUGAAUGCUGUGCAGAAGUGCCAAACCAGUUUUGGGCUAGAGAACAACAUUUUGUGUCUCUACCAUACAAGGAUGGAUGGACCAUGCCUCACCAGACGGCCUCUCAUCCAGGCAUUCCUCAUGACGAAGAACUAUGCAAAACAGAGAUCCAGGCUCUUAUGGAUCUAGAGCUCAUCAGGCCCUCUAAGUCUCAUUGGGCUAGCCCAGCAUUUUAUGUCAACAAGCAUUCAGAACAGAUACGUGGAAAAAAGCGAUUGGUAAUUCACUACAGAAAACUGAAUGAUUGCUUGCAGGACAUAAGAUACCCCAUUCCACGGAGGACACACAUUUUAAAACGCAUUGCUGGUGCAAAAGUGUUUUCAAAGUUUGACAUGAAGUCAGGCUUUUGGCAAAUUGGGAUUAAAGAAGAAGACAGACACAAGACAGCAUUUGUGGUCCCCCACGGGCAUUAUGAAUGGAAUGUGAUGCCUUUUGGCCUAAAGAAUACACCGUCAGAAUUCCAAAACAGAAUGGAUGAGGUGUACAAAUCUAUCUCAGGAUUUUGCCUUAUCUACAUUGACGAUGCUCUUAUCUUCAGCAACAGUGAAGAAGAACAUGCUGAACACCUGUCCCAAUUCAAGGCACUAACCUAUAAACAUGGGUUAGCUUUGUCAGAAUCCAAAAUGAAGAUAGGCCUUGAUGAGGUGGACUUUCUAGGAUUACACAUCAAGCAGAGAUUCAUCAUUCCUCAGCCACAUAUAGCUGAAAAAAUAUCCCAAUUCCCAGACCAGCUGUCAACCAGAAAGCAGAUCCACCAGUUCCUCGGGAUAAUCAACUAUGCAGCAGACCAUGUGCAGGAUCUGUCAAAGAUGACGAGAGUCAGAUAUCAAAGCACUUAAAGAAGAGUGCCCCACAAUGGUCGGAAGACGCAACAAAAGCAGUGACAGACUUAAAGCAAAAGUGCCAGUCACUUCCACCAUUAAAGAUACCUGACAAGGGACAGCUCAUCCUCCAGACAGAUGCAAGUGACCAUUAUUGGGGAGCACUGUUGAUAGAGGAAUCCGAGGGAAACAGAAAAGUGUGUGGCUAUAAAUCAGGCCAGUUCAACGAUGCUCAAAGCCACUACCCCUCCUCCAAAAAAGAAGUCUUAGCAGUUGUCAAAGGGAUCAAAAACUUUCAAUUCUUUCUUUCACUAACUCCCUUUGUGAUUGAAACAGACUACAAAUACCUACAGGGAUUACUCAGGAGAAAAGAAGGAGAAAUACCAGAUCCACAGCUUGCAAGGUGGUCUGAGUCUCUCUCGAGAUUCAAGUUUGAAGUAAAGCACAUCAAAGGAGAAUCCAACACUGUUGCGGAUUUCCUUUCCAGACCGAUCACCAUGAUCAAAAGAAGAAGCCUUCCAAAAAGAUGGGACGAAGGCAGUUCUAGUGCUCACGCAGCCCGAGCACACUUUCUCAAAGAUCUUAACAUCUUCAUUGCUUGGCUUCCUUCGGAAGUUCAAGAUGACAUCUUUGAGAAAGUCAUCUGCCACAAAAGAGAUCCAGAAGAUCAAGCUCUGACAUGGCGGGUAUGGCAGCUCAUGGCCAUGCAGGAACACAGACCUGCCCAUAACAAACAAUGUCAAAGAGCUUUUGAUCCACAUCCAAAUCCUGACCAGAUGCAUGAAACGGUCUUCAAGGUCGGUUGCACCUUCCACUAUGUAAUAGACGAGAACUCCAACUGGGGUCACUAUGUUAUCUGCGAUAUAACCCCUCAAGCCUAUUACAUAACUUGGUACUGGCCCAACAUUUACCCAGUGGCAAUCCUGUUUGAACCACAUCUGAUCCAUACCAGCAGGAGAUAUGGGAAGGGAAGAUGGUUCGACCGAAUGUUCGCUCCUAUCUUCGAAGACAUCCUAACACUCCGGCUAAUCAACGGAUAUCACAUCACUCACUCUACUAUAGUGAUUGUGAAACUCACAGAUAUCUGGGGAAGAUACAAGCAGCCUCUUGUGCAGGUGGUCCAGCAUGACCUCAACCAUGAAGAAAUUGAUUCCAUGUGGACAGGCUGUUGGAAUGCUAGAAAAGCUUUAGCUGAGGUAUACGGAACUAUUCCAAUGUAUAAUACUCAUAGCCCCGUAUCUUCACAAGUCUGCAGUACUCCGGACCUCUACUACAGAGAGGAGAUCAGGAAUCUCAAGCUUCAUGGAGAAGAAGAUGAAGCAGCAGACUUGCAGCAGUGGUAUAAUGAUUACCUCACUCGCCAUGGCAGGCCAAAAGAAGUCACUUAUCUGGACACUCCAGAUAUUGAAAGAUGGAGGAACGAGCUUGAAGAAAUGGCCCAUUGGCUAGACCUCCAAGAUUGGCCCCAACCUGAGUUAGACCCCCAGCCGGAUAACAUUGAAGAUCCCAUAUGGCCAAAUAUGGGAGAAGAUAUGGAUGCAGCAUCCGAAGAACGAUGGAACCACAGGUCAGGACGUAGCACACCAACAAGUGGCAACUCUGGACUAUAGCGGAAGCUUAGUGGACCCUACAGUGGAAGCAAUGGUGAUAAUAAUAUAUGUAUUUGCAUUCGUAUGUAUUGUGUACCAUCCUUUGUGAUAAGGAUGAGAGUGUGAGUGUGACAUAAAGUAAGGAGUGAGUUGUAAAGUAGAUUCCUUAGAGAUAAGGAUCAAUAAUGACUACAGUGUGUAAUAGUGGUUCCCUUGUGCCUAUAAAAGGGAACCCUUGGUUUGUAUCUAGGCAUCGAGUCUUGGAGCCUAAAUCUAGUGUAUUGUAAAUCUCUCAUUCCUCUUAAUGAAGUAACCUUCCUCUGUUCUGAAAUAAACCCAUUUCAUGGUUAGACCAUUGACCUGAAUUAAUACCUUAAUGGCAUCUGUGAGAGAUGGCUUGUGUAUGUCAAGGGUGAAGUUGGGUUCAACUUGGAGAACAACAUGACCUUGGUUGAGUCCUGCUUCGACAGCAAUGAGAAGAAAAUGCACUUUUUGGAAUCUCAGGCUGAAGGAUUUUUGGUGCUUUAACUAAUCUCAUUUGACAAUGUAAAUAUAUGGCUUCAAUUUCUUUAAAUGUAAUAGCAAGUGUUGUUUUCGACCUCUGUUCUUUUAUGCAUUGCUUACAUGCCGUGAUUUCAUUAACCUAAAUUUAAGAACUGUUUGAGGGAAAUACAUCGAGGAGACCAGACGUGAUGAGCAGGUGUUUGGUGGUGGAGUUCUGCGAGCAGGAAUAUUCUCCUCGUCCACGAAUAUGCCAUUCGCGAGACCGAAUUCAUGUUAGAGGCAUAAGGUCAUUCCUGCUAAGGGUCGAGGCGAGGAGACCCGGUCAACGGCAGUUGGCAAGACGUGCCUUCCUAUCCGAGAAUCAAGGCACGAGGUCCAUCUCCAUUUGCCCACAAUGACGACAAUGGGGCAUCCACAUCCGAGGGUGGGGAGAAUAACGGGCGUAAACUGCGGAAGAUCGGGACUCAGAGGAAGCCUAUAAAAAGGUAGCCAACAAAGGUAAAAGGGUUAGAUUUUUUGCUAUUUGAACUAAGAAAAUAGAGAACUCGAAGGUCUGAGAUUAGUGAAAAGCCAUAAGAUCCGUGGCAAGCAUUCCCAGAACCUUCAUAUCUGACUUGAGCGUCGGAGGGUUUACGCCGGGAAAACAACCGGCGUGCUCUGACCUGUUUCUGUGGACGCAAGGAUACUUAGAGAAGAAAGCGUACGAGGAGAGAUCCUGAUCGAGGUGAGGUUGAUCGAGCAGACAUCCUGGUCGUUGGAAGGUGUAACCAGAAUCUCGCAUCAACAAGAACAAUUUCAUAUAAUUUUUUUUCUGCUUUUCUUUUAUCAUUUAAAAACAAUACUACGCACACACACACGCAUAUAUUUCAGAAAGCAUUUAAACAAAGCAACCGAACGUUGCUGGUUUCUAUUAUUACAUCGACAACAAUAAAGCAAAGAAGCAACUGAAAGUUAUCUUCAUAUGAGAAUGAAAGCUUUUCAGCAGCAUAAACCUUUCACUAUUCAAUUCCAAACAUGUUCCUCAACAUGAUAACAAAUUCGUAGACCUUUUCUAGGUCUAGAAGGAUCCUGGCAACAGUAUCUCUUUGCAUGCACUUGUUCAUCCAUGCUGAGAAUUUGGGGCACUCAUUCUCAAGCUUAAAUCCCCCAAAUUUCUCAACCGCGUAAAACCAACAAGUCAGUGGAAUGGAAAUGACAUCAACGAAUCCAAAGCUAUCCCCGCCAAAGAAAUCCUUCUCCCCUAAAGCGCCCUCAAGUUGCUUCAAAAUCUCUAUAAAUUCAUUCUUCGCGGUCUCUGGGACCUCGCCCUUGCUUUUCCAUAUGUUGCAUACUGCAUCGAAUACCUGCCAAAAAAGUGGUGUCAUCUUUUAAGUUCACAUUUAGAAAGAUACAAACAUUUACACUUGAGAAUUAUAGACUGACCUUCUUGUCAAUAAAAUCUUGCCUUAGCUCUCUCAUAAGCACAGGAUGGGAGAAGUGGUGGCGAAGGCCAAGUCUCGUCAAUGUAGUUAACUAUAAUAGUGGAUUCACACAAUGGUUUCCCAUCGUGCAGCAAAACUGGGACUUUCUUGUAGAUGGGUUUGAUUUGAGCAACAGGUCACUCUUGCCCCCAAACAAGUUCUCAGCUCUGGCUUCAUAUUCAACUCCUUUCUCAGCCAAUGCAAUCUUUGCUCUCAAGCAAAAUGGGCUAGCCCAACAAUCCAAAAGAACAACCUCUCCCUUCGACAUAUUCACUUUCUUUGUUCUUGUUUCUUUUACUUGGUUGAUAGUAAUUAAACCUUGAGUAUCAAGGUUGGCAUUUAUAAAGGAUAAAAGAUGAAAUUCCCAAAGUUUGUGUCGCAAUCAACGUUUGUUCGUUGGCACUUCCUUAAAGGAUGUGGCAUUAUUCUUAUCAUUUCUUAGUUUUUGAAGCUAACUGUUUUACUUGGCUUUCAACAUGCACAAGAACAAGUUUGUCUUGUGCAUACGGAGUUUACUAUGGACAAGCCGAAUUGUAAGUAACCAUUUACACUAAUCAAUCGGUAUUGUCCAAUGAAAAUAAGUAAUGUAAACUUAUCAAAAAAAAAAGUAAUGUAAAAAGUGUCUAGGAUUUUGCCUAAUAUUUCUUAAAAUAGGCUAAUUAAGCCCAAUUCUGGUGCUAGAUUGGUUCAACUUUGAAUCAAACUUGGAAACAUUUUGCUUUAGAUUAUUAUUAUUAAUUUAGAAGAGUCAAAAAGCUAAGAGUAUCGUUGGUAAAGCUCAAACAUGUGUAAUAUCACAUAUUACUUCUUUUUUUUUUUUAUACAAGUAAUAUCACAUAUUACUAGUGAGUGAGUUUCAUAAACUUUCCUAUUGAAAAAGACACAUUUUGGGUUGUAAAUCCUAACACAAUAUUUAUUCAGUUGUUGAGCCUGAAAUAUUACAGAUAUAUCAAAUAUUAUUUGAUGUGGGCGCACAACCCUGCGUCUUCUUAAUUAGGACAACCAAUGAAACCCUGCGUCUUCUUACAUAACUUGUAUGUACACAUUGGCGGGAUAUCCCAAUUAUGUACUCGUUUGUCUUCAUGUGUUUUAAAAAAAUCUAUUGUAAUGGAUAUAUUGUAAAUUUAUCUAAUUGCUUGUUAUAAUGCUUCUAUUGCGGUGUUAUUCGAGCUGUCAUUUUCAGUUUUAUUUUGUUUUUUCUUUAAACAUAGUUAAUUUGAAAUCCAUUACACUUGAAUCAUCAAAUAAGUGAUUCUCGAACAUAAUUGCUGUUGUUACUCGAAUAAGAAAAGAAAACAAAGUAUAGCUAAGAUAAAAGCAAAUGGAAAUGAGAGCAACGUGAUUUUGCAAAGAGAACUUCACACUAUCAUAAAACCAAAAACAUUAAAAUUUAAAACUUAAAUAACAACACACCAAAGCCAAAUAACGACCCACUAGAAUCAUGGUCCAAAGAUUGUACCAUGAUCACAACAUGAACUACAAAAAAAUAACCAACACCUGAAAAGUAGGAACAGUUUGAAACUUUCAACUAAAGUGGGAAAGACCAGGAUGGCACUGCAUGCCCAGCCCACCAACAUUAAAUGCUUUUUUCCCUUAUAAUUUAUCAGUCACAUAAUUUAGAGUGAAGACUUUAAUGCUGUGUUUACUUGCUGGAGUGGGAGUGAGGAGUGUGGAUUCCUCCCACUCCAGCGUUUACUUUCUCUGAAUGGGAAGGGAGUGGGAAUUCCACUCCGUGGGCCCCACCCAUUUUUGGAGUGGGGAGUGGGAGUGGGACUCCCAUAUUCCCACUCCCACCUCUCCCUUUUUUACCCUUUUAUUUUUUUAAUUUAAUUUAAUUUAAUAUUUUAUAAUUAAUAAAAUAAAAUAAAUAUUAUUAUAUUUAUUUGAAUAAUAAUAUUAUAUUUAACUAAAUAAUAAUUUGCAUUGAUUCUAAGUUAAAAUUAUUUUAAAAUAAUAUUAUUAUAUUAAUAGAGAAUUAAUAAAUAUAAUAUUAUUAUAUUUAUUUUAAAAAUAAUAGUACUAUAUUUAUUUAAUAUUAAUAAAUAGUUUAUUCUAAGAAAAUAUUAAUUUUGUACUAAAUAAUAUUAUAUUAUUAUUUUAUAUAAUAAUAAAUUUAAUAUAAUUAUAUUAAAUAAAAUAAGGUUUCAUUUUGUAUUAAAAUUAAUAAUUUAUUGUUGAUAAUUAAGAAUAUUAAUAAUUAUAAUAAAUUUACAAAUAUAAUAAAAUAAAUAUUAUUCAUUAAAUAUAUUUUUUAUUAGUUUUGUAAUUAAAAAUUAUAAUUCUUUAAAUAAGAAUAAAAUUGUAAUUUGAAACUAUUUACUCCCAAUCCAAGACAAAGUAAACACAUAAAUUGGAUUUUGAUCUCUAUUCCAUGCUUCCAUUCCAGUGUAAGUAAACAACCUACUCUCACUCCCACUCCACACUCUCAAUCCUAGGAUUUCCACUCCUCAGGAUUCCCAAUCCAAUCCAAAAAGUAAACGCUACCUAAAAGCAAAUAAAUGAAUUGGCUGAAUCUAGCUAGGAUGCCAGGAUGGGCACGGAUCCACAGAUAACAAGUAACAGUCUUUAAAUCUUCUGUUGUAAGUUCUUACGCCCCUUUUUUUUUAUACGACGAACCCCCGAUUCUACCCUCCAAAAUCAACAAUAGAGAAUUUAGUCUUAGCCUCUCAAGAUGCACUCAAACCUAAGGAUGGCAAUGGAUCAGAUCUGACCCAAGAUCCAUGUGAUCCAAAUCCAAUUGGAUCGAAUUUGGGUCGGAUUAAAAUAGAUUUGGAUCGGAUUUGGAUAUCGAUGCGUGGAUCUAAGGCGGAUCUGGAGCAAAUUCAGAUUUAUCUUAAUAUCUAUAUCCAAAUCCAUAUCCACUCACCAUUUAAUGUAAUUUUAUUUUAAAAAAUUCUUAACAAUUAUGUAAUUAUAAAUGAUGAUAAAAUUUAUUCAUUAGCAUGUAUUUAAGAAUCUUAAAACUUAAAGGUACUUAAUUGAUAAUAAGAUAAAAAUUUAUCAAGUGUAAAAUAAAAUUAGGAUAGUCUGCCCUAAUUUUUUUAAGUUUUUCACUCUACAAUUUAGUCUCUUUUUUCCUCUUUAGUCUACUCUCGCUUCUCCACUUCAUUUGAAUGCUUGGAUCAGUUCUUUAAUUGUUAGGAAAAUCCAUAGACUUGAGUUUAUUUUUCUAUCAUUUUCUCAUAAUCUUAUUUAUUUUGUAUAAUCACUAAUCAAUGGUGGCUAUCAACUAUAAAAUAAUUAUGUUAAUCAUAUAUUUAGUUAAAUAUGAUCAUAAUAAAAAUAAUAAAGCACUGAAUAUAAUAAAUCAUUUUUAACUUAUAUGUUAUUAUUUAAUGAUAUAGGAAUGAUGAUGGUGUGCAGUGGAUAUCAAGAUAGUAAAUGAGACAUUAGAAUAUUAUAAUGAUCUUAUUCAUGCAAUUACUUUUUAUCGAUAUUUUAUUAUCUUUUUUAUUUGUUUAUUUUGGUGUAAAAGCAGAAGCUACAAUACUUAUUAGAUUUUUUGUACAAAUUAUAUAAUUUAAUUGUUACCAAUGCAUUUUAGUCUUAAAUUUUUUUUCUAAAAAAAAUUGAUCUCUUAUUAUUGAGAUUUAGAAUUCAUGAUGGAUCUAGAGCAUAUUUAGAUUGUAAUUUUUCAAUUUGGAUUUGGAGCAGAUAUAGAUCUUUAUUUUUGUUUCGAAUCUAGAUAUGGAGCGAAAAUAUAGAUCCAUAACGGAUCUGGAGCAGAUACAGAUCUUAAUUUUUAUUACGGAUCUGGAUAUGGAGCAAUGUAGAUCCAAUCCAUAUCUGCUCCAUUGCCAUCCCUACUCAAACCUUGAGUAUGGUUUUUACUUACGUAUUAUCGAUUAUGAUUUUAACUAAUCUCUCUUGUCAACGAACUUUUGGUUGAUUAUGGACGCCUUUUUUUUUUUAAUCUAAACAAUAUAAGAUUUCGUACAAAUUGAAUUUGUAUAGACCUCAUCAUUUGGAACUUGUGUUGUAUCCAAAAAUAUCACCCAACCCAAAGAAAAUAAGUUCAAUUCUAUAACUCAUUCAUUUUUCUUAUAGCCCAAUGGAUUGAGAGAAUAGGCGUCAGAGGAAACUUUAUUUCAAUAUAUAAAUAUAGGCUUGCAUACAAUGCAAAAUCAUAUAUUCGAACCAAUAGGCGAAGCAUUGUCCCUCGUUGAUCCACAUGAGCCAACUAGUCAAAGUGGAUCCACAUGAGCCACUUUACAGACUGGGCAUGCAUUGCAACUGUUCAUUUUUGCUUCUGCCAAUAAAGAGUUGAUAGUAACCAAAGAUUGUAUUCUUUAUUGUCAUUUGAGAGUAACCAAUUACUUAGGCAGUCACGUAAGUUGCUGGUUGGCCUCGCACAUUUUUGACCAGCUUGUUUCUGAAGGAAACCAGCUGAGCUGCAACCUCUUCCAUGCUCAUUCGUUCUCUCGGCAACUCUGAAGAGCAAGUGACUCCGAUUGCCAGUACUGAAACCAAGCACUCUUUAACACUAAAACUUCUGGUCCAUUGUUUGUGAGCAUUGGCCUUGCUUGUCUCCCCUUCUUCUCUUUCUACAAGAAGCACUGGAUCAACAAUUUCAGCGAGUCUUUCAGGAAGAGCUUCCUUGACAAAAUUAUGUAGGGUUAGAUUGCCUGUAAACAUCUCAUUCGUCGGCCCCUUUCCUGUAAACAUUUCCAGCAAGAGUAUUCCAAAACUGUACACAUCUCCACUUGUUGAGACUUCGCUCCCCAUUCCGUACUCUGCAAUUCGAAAACUAAAAUUGUUGGUUCAACUAGUAAAAUCUCUAAGGAUUGAAAGACAAGUUAAUUAAAUUAUUGUAUUUACCUGGUGCAGCAUAACCAACGGUUCCUUUUACUCCAACAGAGCUUGAUUGAUUAGAUGACAAGUUAUUGGUGGCUUCCGGAAGGAAUUUUGCUAAUCCAAAAUCACCUACAUGGGCAGUCAAUUCACCAUCCAGAAGAACAUUGCUUGGCUUGAGAUCACAAUGGACUAUUGGAGUUUCGCAAUAAUGAUGAAGAUAAUCCAAUGCGGAAGCAACAUCAACGGCAAUAUUCAGUCUUUGCAGGAGAUUUAAGUUCCUUGGUGCCUCAGCGUUCGGAUGCAACCAUUCCUCCAGGCUCCCGUUGACCAUGAACUCAUAAACUAAAGCCUCGAAAUCAUUUCCUUGGAAGUCAACACUUGCACAGGAAGUUAUUAUUUUGACAAGAUUCCGAUGCCUAAUACUCCUCAAGGCUUGACACUCCGCUAUGAAACUCUUUGAAGCUCCACGAUGCUGAAGAUUAAGUACCUUAACUGCCACCAGCGUUUCAUGAUCAUCGUGACUGAGGAUUCCUUUAUAGACCGAACCAAAGCUACCGGCACCAAUCAAGUUUUCCAAAGAGAACCCAUCAGUUGCUUUGAACAGAUUCUCAUAGGACACUCGUAAAACCGAAGCCAAGAAUGCUGAUGGAGUGGCCGGCUCCCUUUUUGAUUUGCUCCGCCAGGAAGUAAUUAUAAAACACGACAUCCCUGUCACUAACAAAAUUACUGUAACUACAGGAAUCAUCAGUUUCAGGGAACGGGAACGUGACUGCUUGGAUUCUUUGAUGGAACAAGUAGAUAAAUGCAACUCAGAUAUGCCACCACAGAGGUUAUCAUUUCCAUCAAGAGAUAUAGCACUUGAAUUGCUGAAGACUCCUUUUACUGGUACUUCACCCUCAAAAUGAUUAAAAGACAGAUUUAAAUUCUGCAAAAAGGGAAAGUUUUCCAAAUAUUUUGGAAUCCGGCCGGACAAAUUGUUCCGCGAAAGAUCAAGAUUCUCAAUGCCUCUCAAAGAACUGAAUGACGAAGGUAUAUUCCCUUGAAAGAAAUUACCAUUCAUGAUGAGUUGCACCAACAAAAUGCAACUUCCUAAACUACUUGGAAUUUCACCAGACAAUUUGUUCUCAGAUAUAUCUAUAAAACCCAGAUUUUUCAAGAUACCAAAAUUUGAGGGCAUAGGACCAUUCAACUGGUUUUGAGAUAGAUCAAGAUAGAUUGACAAGGAAGAGAGGCCAAUUACUUCAGUGGGUAUGGUACCACUGAGGUUGUUAUUAGAAAGAUUUAAUGAUAUUAAGUUUUGGCAUUUCCCCAGACUUGAUGGAAUGCUUCCCUCUAACAUGUUUUCCUCAAAAUUUAGUGUAGUUAACAAUGUCAAAUUUCCUAUAGAAGAUGGAAUUUCCCCCCAAAACUUGUUCCCCUUCAGGCCCAACCUCUGCAGCUUUUGAAGAUCUCCUAUACUUUCCGGAAUUCGGCCUGUGAAUUUGUUGCCCCCCAGAUGUAAAAGCUCCAAGUUAACAAGAUUUCUUAAUCCACUUGGGAUAUUUCCGAACAACUGAUUGUUUCCAACUGAUAAUAUUGCAAGUCGGUUUGACAAGUUCCCUACUGUUUCAGGUAACAUUCCACCAAAAUUGUUAUCACUAAUUUGCAGUAGCUCUAGUCUAGAAGCGUUAACCAAAGAAUUGACAAAUUCCAAGUUAUCUUUUUCCCCAUAAUUUCCUAAGUGAUUCUGAGAAAUACUAACCCAUUGGAGUUUAUGUAAAUUUUCCAAACUAGGCACCCUUCCACUGAAUCCAUUCUUUGCGAUUGUAAGUCUCAUUAGAUUUGAGGCAUUGGAUAUUGAAGCCGGAAUAGGUCCGGUAAACUGAUUACCACCAACGUUUAGUACUUCAAGUUUAGGAAGAGUGAAGCCUAAGUCUGAUGGAAGGCUUCCUUGAAGUUGGUUAAAAGGAAAAUAAAAACCACUAAGCCAAGACAAGUUGUAGAUUGAAAAGGGGAUUUCACCUGAUAGCUUAUUUGCUCCAAACGAUAUAUAACGCAUCAUCUUAAGCUCGCUCAGGGUUUCAGGAAUUUGUCCCACAAAUUGAUUUGCAGCUGCUGAGAGGACCUGGAGUGAUGACAAAUUGCCGAAGGAAGGUGGGAUUUCUCCUGACAAAUUGUUGGAGUGUAUUACGAGAAUCCGGAGCUUUGGUAAGGAGCCCAGUUUCCCUGGAACUUUCCCCACUAGCUCAUUGAAGUCUAACCAGAGGGAUUCAAGGUUAACGCAAUGCGAUAUGUUGUCAGGAAUUUGACCUCCGAAUGUAUUGUUGUCCAGCCUUAAAAUUCGUAACCUGAACAGAUAUCCAAUCGCUUGAGGGAUUUCGUUGCGGAGGCUAUUGUUUUUUAGAUCUAACACUCUGAGAAAACUCAAAUUACCAAUGUGAGGCGAAAGAGACCCCUGCAAGAGUAAAGAUGGAAGACGUAAUCCAGUCACCCUUUGGUGCCGUCGACUGCAAGUGACACCUUUCCAUUGACAAAAGUGCCUGGAAUAGUUCCAUGAACUCAAAACCUCAAGAGGGUCAUGAGUAACUUUGGCCUUGAAUUCAAGCAAUGCAAGUUGAUCAGUUUCAUUGCUUUUGAGCAUAUAAUCGGUUGACUGCAAGCUGAAGCUGACGCAACAGAAAAUAAAGAAACAAAUGCUUACAAUGAUUGAACUCAUCAUGUUUACAAAAUCCAUUUAACUGCCGAAAGGAAAUUAAAAUGAUAAAACUUUUAUAGAGGUUGGUAAGAUAAACUAUGUUUGUAUAUUUUUUGCAAUGAUUUAUGGACUCUGUACUUGAUGCUCAAAUGUGAACCGGCUGGCACCGUGACAGUGAAACUAAUGCUUUUUAUUUUUCUAAUAAUAUUAAUUAUCAAAUUUAUUACUAUUGUAAGAAUAAUAUAAUACAGCUUUUCCUUUAAGGAAGACCCGCCACACUAACUUUUGACGCUCUAUCAGUUUCCAGUAUUUUGUCAUUUUGUAUUGUAGUGCUUAAUCCACAAUGAAUAUAAAACAAUUUAAUCAACAUUAUUAGAAAAAGAAAAAAAGUAGGAGAAGAAAGUUAAGUAUGAUGGAUGGAGGGUCAGAUUACUGUUAAAUGACUUAAAGGUUUAAAGCACCACAGGAAUCAACGUUUCACAACGCUUUUUUCCCUUUCUGAAAUAUUCGGUGCAUUAGUUGACUAGAAUUAUAAUAUAUCAAACAACUACAAGAAAUAUUUUAAUUUAUCAUUUUACUAUUAUAUAUUUACAUAACUUAUCAUUUUACUAUAUUUCCGUAGUACCAUUAGUUGACUAGAAAAAUGUUAAUUUUACUUUUGAAAAAAAACACAAAUGGAUAUAUUAAAUAUUUUUAGCUACUUUUUAUUUUGAAUUUAUAAUGUUGUAAUACUUUGUGUUAUUAUUACUUUUUAUUUUGCAAAAACAAAUUAUAUAAAGAGAAAAAUUAAUAUUUUAUCAAUUAACUAAUUGAUCUAUAUUAAUUGAAAUAUAAUAAAUUAAUAUUUUAUCAAUUAACUAAUUGAUCUAUAUUAAUUGAAAUAUAAUAAAAUAAUAUUUUAUUUUUAAAUAUAAUAAAAUAAUUUUCCCAUGAAAGAAAAUGAUGAGUUGUUUCAACGUAAUGCAGCUGCCUAGACUACAUGGAAUUUCACCAGGCAAUGACAAUUUAUUCUCAGAUAAAUCUAACGCCACAACAUUUAUCUAGUCACCCAAAUUUGCAGGCGUUCGUUUUGAGACUUGUCAAAACUUUUUCCAAAAAUUCGGGAUUCAGGUCAUAUCAGGCCGGUUAUGUUUUGAAAAACUUGUAAAUUAUCAGUGAUCAAACUUCAAAACUUUGCAAAUAGGUCAAAAUACGGAAAAAAACUUGAUAUAUUAUUGAAUACUCAUUUUGUUUUGCAUUAAUAUAACGCUAUGGGUGAUAUCUAGUUCUGUUGGUAAAAUUUCUUGGGUUGAAAACAAGAAAACUAGCAUUUCAAACUCACUCAUAUGGAUGGGAAAGAAAUUUAGUUAUUAUUGGAUUAAAAAAUAAUAAUGAGAAUUAGAAAAAAAUUAUAAGGCUUCAACGAGAUUUGCUAAUCAUGUAUAGAUUAAUAUGGAGAUUAAGAACAUCACCUAAGCUAAUUAUUGAACUUGAAAGUUUAGGAGAAAAAAUUAUAUGGGUUUGGCCAUCAAUUUAGCAUUCGGAACUUAUUGUUUAGGAAGCUACGGCGGGUUUCGUAGUGGGACUUAUCCUCUUUAAUGCAUAUGGUGAUUUUAAACCAACAUAUAUAUAAUCCUAUUAUAAAACUCAUCAAACCUUCUAAAAUAACAUGUUGAGAUAGUGUGCUAGAUCCAUAUAAAUAUUUCUCCAACUUCUUAGCUUGAAGCGAUAUUCAUUUCCAUUGAUAGUUUAAUGGGCAAAGCCUUUUGAAUUCUCCAUGUUAUCAAGUUAACUUUUGCUGGAAAAUGCAAUGCGGAUAUGAAUAGAAUUUUUUGUGCAAACAAUUUUUCUAUGUUGACACAUCCUCUGGAACUUUCAGUAAAUUUUAUGGAGAAGCUUCAAUUUCUUGGUUGUUGAUUUCGAAUACAUUAAGCUCUUAUUUGGUAUUAAAGUAUUGUGGGCUAAAAGCUAUAGUUUUUAUGGAAAGAAAUUUGUAAUUGCGAAAUAAAAGUUGAUUCAGUGUGAUAAAUAUAAUUUCAGAAUAAAAAAUAAAGUAAACUUCGAAAUUAUAAUAGUAAGUAUUUAUUAAAUACUUUAGUGUUGCAGUAACUGUUUACUACAAUAUCAAAUAGGGGGCUAGUACAACAAGUUGUUAUAUUAAAAGUCUCCCAAAAAGGAAGAAGUGACUUAAAAAAUUAAAAGAAUGCAGGAGCUGAAGUUGGCAAUUUUGUAAAUUGCAAUGGCGAUUGUGAUAUAGUAAAAUCCUUCAAUGAAUCACAGCACUAGCGAUUUCGUAAUAUACAGUAGCGGCAAUUUUGUAAAAUUGAAGUAGUGAUAGUUUUGCAAAUAAAAGUAAAAACUUUUUCCCAAAAUUUGGCUGAGCAAAAAGCCAGCUUAGCCCACACUCUCCUUCGCCACUGGUUGAUGAGCUCUUCCUUCAAUUUUUGAACUUGAAGUGAUGCCCCAUCAACGUCCAGAAUUUUUAAAGUCUCCCCACUGUACAAGUUAAACAAUAAAGUCAGAAUGAUGACGGAGUUACAAACAAUCAAAUAUGAUCCUAAUGAUUCUUUUUAUACACUCACCCGUGCAUUGAUGUGUUUAAUUGAUAUAUAUUUAAGCAGAAAUUGAAGUUUGAACCUGAUUAAUUAGAUGCGAACACACAUUCAUGAGUAAUUACUUAAAAUUAAUUAACCAAAAGAGUAAAUAUAGGAGGAAAUCGAUCAUAUGCGUGCGGACACCACAAUCGAAUUAUAUAUUUAUAUCACCACAGCACAUAAAUUUUAUUCGAAUGAUAUAUGAUUAAUUAAUCAAUUUUUAAUAACAAUUAAAUUAUAAUGUCAAUUGUGCACAUAAGAUUUUUUUUCUUGAUGAAAUUAUGAAAGUUAGUAAUUAUUUUCCAUUUUUUAAAUAAUAGUUGUUAAUACAAAUCAAAAAAAUAUUGGGACUUGAGAUCAGGGUCUACUUGAGUUAGAAUUUUUUAUUAGAGAAGCUAUUAGCCAGCAAUACAAAAUAAAGAAGCAACACAAGAUAAAGAGUAAUAUAUUAUAGAAAGAUUUUAUUCGUUUCAAGUGUGUAUCAAACAAAGAGAUAUUUAUAGUUACAUAAUUACUACAUGAAAUUAAUGAAAACAUUAUGGAUCAUACUUCCUUGCGAGAUAGUGAAAGUUAUAGAGAAGGCAAAGGUUGCUAGUGGAAGAUAGUAGAGAGAUUAAGAGAUGUAUGUUAUAAACAUCCAGAUUUAUUUUAAUAAAUUCAUAGCAUUUUUUCCCCUCAAAUAAUAGGGUGUAGAGAACAAUUGGAAGGAGUUUACGCAGCCUAUAAAUUAAUACUCUGACGAAUUAAUAUCCUCUAUUAUAUAAUGACUUUUUUUAAGCACACUAAUAGGCUAAAAUGACAGUUCCAAUAAAUAAAUAAAAUAAUAUAUUUUUUUUGAAAACCCUUACAUAAUAUUGUGGUCCUACUCAUAUCAUAAAUUAAUAAUUUUUAAAUUAUAUAUAAUUAUUACACAUAAAUUAUAUAUUUUUUAAUAAAUUCAUAAUAUUUUUUCUCAAAUAAUAGGGUGUAGAGAACAAUUAGAAGGAGUUUACAAGACUCGCCUAUAAAUUAAUACUCUGGCGAAUUAAAAUCCUCUAUUAUAUAAUAAUUUUUUUUAAGGUUGCUAGUAGGCUAAAAUGAUAGUUCCAAUAAAUAAAUAAGAUUAUAUUUUUUUUUAAUGAAAACCCUUACAUUACAUUAUGGUCCUACUCAUAUAAUAAAUUAAUAAUUUUUAAAAUUACAUAUAUAAUAUUUUAUUUUAAAAAUAUGAUUUUAUUUUUUAUUAUUUUUUCUUGAAAUUUAAAUAUAGUUAGAUUUCAUCUCUAAUUUUUCUUAUUACUUUUGAGGUUAAAUUUUGAAAUUGCAAAAAUUUUGAAUUUUUUUGGUUAAUUAAAUCUGCAGUGAGUGUAUAAGAUGAUUAGAUUAGUAAAAUAUAAUAAAUUUUUAGUUGAUUAAAUAUAUGUUCAUUUAAUAUGUCUUGUGUAUACAGAGUUUACUAAGGACAAGCCGAAUAGUAAGUGAGCAUUUACACUAAUCAAUCGUGUUGAGUUGUGUCUCAUAUUGGCUAGUAAAGGGGAGAUACUUGGGUUUAUAAGAAGGUAUGUCACUCCACCUAAAAGACUAGUAUUUUGGGUUGGAUACCUAGAAAUCUUAUGUUAAGUCCCCUCAACAAAUCGGUAUUGUGCAAUGAAAAUAAGUAAUCUAAAAAUUGCCUAGGAUUUUGCCUUAUAUGUCUCAAAAUAAGCUAAUUAUGCCCAAUUAUGGCACUUGAUGGUUCAACUUUGACAUCAAAGUUGGAAACGUUUUUCUCUAGGGUGAGGCUAUUUGCACUUGAAUAUCUACUUUGAACACUCAUUUACUCAGCGCACUCAAUUAAUAAUUUCAAACUAUUAAAUUUUACUUGGAACACUCUUUUGAAUUCCUAUAUUAUCCACAUUUCUUUAAUUACUUUAUUUCUUCUUUGUACCCAAUAAAAUAUUCAUCAUCACAAACAAAAUAUCUAACUUUUUUUUUCCAUUUUUAUUCACUUUUAUUUUCUGUUCAUAAUCUGUUUUGAUAUGUAUUUGUUCUUCUCUUAUUGCUACAAUUUAAUUCUGUUUGUCAACCCAUAAAAGCAUGCGAAUUGAGUGAAAAUCAAAGUGCAAAUUUAAAACAAAAUCCUUUGAUUUACUUGCGUUUUCUUAUGUUGGAGUGGUGCAAUUUGUUGUUUGUCCUCCACCUCUAUUUUUAAUUCCUUUUGUUUCAGUUAUAAAGAUGAUCAUGAACAUGUUACUUGAUGUUUUCCUAGCAAUUCUAUUAACCAAAAAAAUGAAAAAAAAAAGUUUAGUCCAUAAGUAUAGACAAUGUUUUCAUUUGAAUAUUGAUUCAAUUCUUCGUUGUUAAUGUGGUUUAUUGUAGAUAAAAUAUAAUGUUAGAUAAAAAUUUGUUAUACUGUAUUUUAUAAUUGUCCUUAAUAGAAAAUUACAUUAAGGUUAAUUUAGUAAUAUAAAAAUUAUUAAAUGUGAGUGUCCAAAGUAAAUUUUAGAGUGCAUAUAGUCUCACCCUUUUCUUUGUGUUAUUAUAAUUAAUUUAGAAAGAGUUAGAAAGCUAAGAGUAUCCUUAGUAAAGCUCAAAUAUGUAAUACAUAUCACUAGUGAGUGAGUUUCAUAAACUUUCCUAAUUAAGUAGAUGAAUUUUGGGUUGUAAAUCCUAACACAAUAUCUAUUCAGUUGUUGAGCCUAAAAUAUCACAACUAAAUCGAUAUUGUCCGAUGUAGUCAUGCAACCCUACAUCUUCUUAGUUAGGACAAUUCAUGAAACCACUUAUUUGGGAUGUAGGAGAUGAUACAAAAUUUGUAUGUGCACGUUGGCUUAAUAUCCCAAUUACACACUCGUUUGUCUUCAUGUGCUCCGAAAAGAUCUAUUGUAAUGGAUAUAUUGUAUCUUUAUCAAAGUGCUUGUUAUAAUGAUUCUAUUGUGGUGUUAUUCGAGUUGUCACUUUUAGUUUUUGAUUAUCUUUUUUAAACAUAGUUAAUUUGAAAUGUUCUUUAAUAUCCAACACACUUGAGAUCAUCAAAUAAGUGAUUCCCGAACAUAAUUGCCUCUGAUCAUUUUGUUUGUGCCAAUAAAGGGUUGAUACAAACCAAAGACUUCUUGUCUUUAUUGUCAUUUGAGAGUAAUCAAUUACUUACGCAGUCACAUAAGUUACUGGUUGGCCUCGCACAUUUGAGAGUAACCAAAUGGAAAUGAGAGCAACGUGAUUUUCCAAAGAGAACUUCACACUAUCAUAAAACUGAAAACAUUACAAUUUAAAGCUUAAAUAACAACACACCAAAGCCAAAUAACGACCCACUAGAAUCAUGGUCCAAAGAUUGUUCCAUGAUCACAACAUGAACUACAAAAAAAAAAAAAAAAAAAAAACCAACACCAAAAAAGUAGGAACAAUUUGAAACUUUCGACUAAGCAACAUUUAUGAUCACAUCAGCAGUCCUAAACACAUCUUCUAACAAUUGCAACUGUUCAUUUUUGCUUCUGCCAAUAAACAGUUGAUAGUAACCAAAGAUUGUUGUCUUUAUUGUCAUUUAAGAGUAACCAAUUACUUACGCAGUCACGUUAGUUGCUGGUUGGCCUCGCACAUUUUUGACAAGUUUGUUUCUGAAGGAAAGCAGCUGAGCCGCAACCUCUUCCAUGCUCAUUCGUUCUCUCGGCAACUCUGAAGAGCAAGUGACUCCGAUUCCCAGUACUGAAACCAAGCACUCUUCAACACUAAAAUUUCUGGUCCAUUGUUUGUGAGCACUGGUCUCGCUUGUCUCCCCUUCUUCUCUUUCUACAAGAAGCACUGGAUCAACAAUUUCAGCGAGCCUUUCAGGAAGAGCUUCCUUGACAAAAUUAUGCAGGGUUAGAUUGCCUGUAAACAUCUCAUUCGUCGGCCUCUUUCCUGUAAACGUUUCCAGCAAGAGUAUGCCAAAACUGUACACAUCUCCACUUUUUGAGACCUCACUCCCCAUUCCGUACUCUGCAAUUUGAAAAUUAAAACUGUUGGUUCAACUAGUAAAAUCUCUAAGGAAUGCAAAAGAAGUUAAUUAAAUUAUAGUAUUUGCCUGGAGCAGCAUAACCAACGGUUCCUUUAACUCCAGUAGAGCUUGAUUGAUUAGAUGACAAGUUAUUGGUGGCGUCCGGAAGGAAUUUCGCUAAUCCAAAAUCACUUACAUGGGCAGUCAAUUCACCAUCCAGAAGAACAUUGCUCGGCUUGAGAUCACAAUGGACUAUUGGAUUUUCGCAGUAGUGAUGAAGAUAAUCCAAUGCGGAAGCCACAUCAACGGCAAUAUUCAGUCUUUGGAGGAGAUUUAAAUUCCUUGGUGCCUCAGGGUUUGGAUGCAACCAUUCCUCCAGGCUCCCGUUCACCAUGAACUCAUAAACUAAGGCCUCGAAAUCAUUUCCUUGAAAGUCAACACUUGCACACGAAGUUAUUAUUUUGACGAGAUUCCGAUGCCUAAUACUUCUAAAGGCUUGACACUCCGCUAUGAAACUCUUUGAAGCUCCUCGAUGUUGAAGAUUAAGCACCUUAACUGCCACCAGCGUUUCAUGAUCAUCAUCAUUGAGGAUUCCUUGAUAGACCGAACCAAAGCUACCGGCACCAAUCAAGUUUUCCAAAGAGAACCCAUCAGUUGCUUUGAACAGAUUCUGAUAGGACACUCGUAAAACCGAAGCCAAUACUGCUGAUGGAGGAGGGGCCGGCUCCCUUUUUGAUUUGCUCCGCCGGGAAGUAAUUAUCAAACACGACAUCCCUGUCACUAACAAAAUUACUGCAACUACAGGAAUAAUCAGUUUCAGGGAACGGGCACGUGAUUGCUUUGAUUCUUUGAUGGAACAAGUAGAUAAAUGCAACUCAGAUAUGCCACCACAGAGGUUAUCAUUUCCAUCAAGAGAUAUAGCACUUGAAUUGCUGAAGACUCCUUUUAUUGGUACUUCACCCUCAAAAUGAUUAGAAGACAGAUUUAAAUUCUGCAAAAAGAAAAAGUUUUCAAAAUAUUUUGGAAUCCGGCCAGACAAAUUGUUCCGCGAAAGAUCAAGGUUCUGAAUGCCUCUCAAAGAACUGAAUGAUGAAGGGAUAUUCCCUUGAAAGAAAUUACCAUUCAUGACGAGUUGUUCCAACCUAACGCAACUUCCUAGACUGUUUGGAAUUUCACCAGACAAUUUGUUCUCAGAUACAUCUAGAACACCCAGAUUUUUCAAGAUGCCAAAAUUUGAGGGCAAAGGACCGUUCAAUUGGUUUUGAGAUAGAUCAAGAUAGAUUGAUAAGGAAGAGAGACCAAUCACUUCAGUGGGUAUGGUACCAGUGAGGUUGUUAUUAGAGAGAUCUAAUAAUAUCAAGUUUUUGCAUUUCCCUAGACUUGAUGGAAUGCUUCCCUCUAACAUGUUUCCGUCAAAACUUAGUGUGAAUAACAAUGUCAAAUUUCCUACAGAAGAUGGAAUUUCCCCCAAAAACUUGUUCCCCUUCAGUCUCAACCUCUGCAGCUUUUGAAGAUCUCCUAUACUUCCCAGAAUUCGGCCUGUGAAUUGGUUGUCCCCAAGAUCUAAAAGCUCCAAGUUAACAAGAUUUCCUAAUCCACUUGGGAUAUUUCCGAACAAUUGAUUGUUUCCAACGGUAAAUCUUUUAAGUCGGGUUGACAAGUUCCCCACAGAUUCAGGUAACAUUCCUCCAAAAUUGUUAAUACUAAUUUCCAUCAUCUCUAGUCUAGAAGCGUUGACCAAAGAACUGACAAAUUCCAAGUCAUCUUUUUCCCCAUUUCCUAAGUGAUUCAGAGAAAAGCUAACCCGUUGGAGUUUAUAUAAAUUUUCCAAACUCGGCACCUUUCCACUGAAUCCAUUUUUCUGGAUUGUAAGUCUCAUUAGAUUUGAGGCAUUGGAUAUUGAAGCAGGAAUAGGCCCAGUAAACUGAUUAUUACCAAAGUUUAGUACUUCAAGAUUAGGAAGAGUGAAGCCUAAGUCUGAUGGAAGGCUUCCUUGAAGUUCAUUAACAGGAAAAUCCAAAAGACUAAGCGAAGACAAGUUGUAGAUUGAGAAAGGGAUUUCACCUGAUAGCUUAUUUGCUCCGAAUCCUAUUGAACGCAUCCUCUUAAGCUCGCUCAAGGUUUCAGGAAUUUGUCCCACAAACUGAUUUACAGCUGCUGAAAGGAACUCGAGUGAUGACAAAUUGCCAAAGGAAGAUGGGAUUUCUCCUGACAAAUUGUUGAAGUGUACUGCUAGAGUCCGGAGCUUUGAUAAGGAGCCUAGUUUCCCUGGAACUUUCCCCACAAGCUCAUUGAAGCCUAACCAGAGGGAUUCAAGAUUAACGCAAUGUGAUAGGUUGUCAGGAAUUUGACCUCUGAAUGUAUUUUUCUCCAGGCUUAAUUUUUGUAACCUGAACAGAUAUCCAAUCUCUUGAGGGAUUUCGUUGCGGAAGCUAUUGUUUUUGAGAUCUAACACUCUGAGAAAACUUAAAUUACCAAUGUGAGGCGACAGAGACCCCUGUAAGAGUAAAGAUGGAAGAAGUAAUGCAGUCACCCUUUGGUGCCGUCGACUGCAAGUGACACCUUUCCAUUGACAAAAGUGCCUGGAAUAGUUCCAUGAACUCAAAACCUCAAGAGGGUCAUGAGUAACUUUGGCCUUGAAUUCAAGCAAUGCAAGUUGAUCAGUUUCAUUGCUUUUGAGCAUAUAAUCGGUUGACUGCAAGCUGAAGCUGAAGCAACAGAAAAUAAAGAAACAAAUGCUUACAAUGAUUGAACUCAUCAUGUUUACAAAAUCCAUUUAACUGCCGAAGGAAAUUAAAAUGAUAAAACUUUUGUGGAGGUUGGUAAGAUAAACUAUGUUUGUAUAUUUUUUGCAAUGAUUUAUGGACUCUGUACUUGAUGCUCAAAUGUGAACCGGCUGGCACCGUGACAGUGAAACUAAUACUUUUUGUUUUUCUAAUAAUAUUAAUUAUCAUAUUUAUUACUAUUGUAAGAAUAAUAUAUUGCAGCUUUAAAGAAAGACUCACCAUACUCCUUUUCGAGUCCUGUCAGUUUCCAGCAUUUGGUCAUUUUUUUAUUUCACCGCUUAAUCCACAGUAAAUAUAAAACAAUUUAAUCAACAAUAUUGAAAAAGAAAAAAAGUAGGACAAGAGAAAGGUAAAUACUGUUAAAUGAGUUGGGAAACGUUCAAAGCACGACGGGAAUUAAAAUUAUAAACUUUUAUAAAGGUUGGUAAGAAAAAACAUAUUUGUAUAUAUUUUUUUCAAUGAUUUAUGGACGCUAUACUUGAUGCUGAAAUGUGAACCGGCUGGCACCGGGACAGUGAAACUAAUGCUUUUUAUUUUUCUAAUAAUAUUAAUUAUCAUAUUUAUUACUAUUGUAAGAAUAAUAUAAUACAGCUUUUCCUUUAAGGAAGACCCGCCACACUAACUUUUGACGCUCUAUAAGUUUCCAGUAUUUUGUCAUUUUGUAUUGUAGUGCUUAAUCCACAAUGAAUAUAAAAGUUUAAAGCACCACAGGAUGAUGGAUGGAGUUUCACAUUACUGUUAAAUGACUUUGAAAGGUUUAAAGCACCACAGGAACCAACGUUUCACAAUGCCUUUUUCCCUUGUGAAAUAUUCAGUGCAGUCUCUCCCAGAUUUUGCUAGUGCAACAACGAGACGUCAUGCCGUUAACAAUUUUAAACUGUAAAUGACAUGUUGUUUUUACAAGACAUAUUAUGCGUCGAUACAUACCUUUUCUGGUUGUUGGUUUAUAAAAAUAUAUGAAACGGCAUGAGUGUGACAACUCUUGUAAAAUUUUUAAAAACAACAUAAUCAAUGGUAUUCUUAUCUCCCAGCUGCCGUUUGCCGUUUGGAAUUGUUCUGUAUAAGAUCUUGAUCAUCGAAUUUACCACUAGGGCGUAUGCUUUAUUUUCUCGAAUUACAUUGCUGCCUCAUCUUUUGUGUUUUCGGUUCUGUUGUGGAUCUCCUCUGUUUUUUUCUGAUUUUGGGCCCGAAGGGCACGUUAAUUGAAAUCAACAAAUCUGGUAAAAAUGACGUUAAAUUCGAUCAGAUUUACAUAUUUAAUUACAAAUGCAGUAACCCCGAUCAGAUGCAUACACUAAUUUUAUUUAUUUUGUCAGCUUUAACCUCACUGUCAUUUUGAAUAGCCUACAAGAGUCGAAUGACUAGAUUUCCAAUUUGCUAUCAUCCCCCUUGAAUGGGUUCAAGAAAUUCAGCAGGUUGCGAAACAAUAAGAUUCAUUCAAUCCGUGUAGAUAUCUAACUGACUGAAAUUAAAUAAAUGAUGAUGAUAAGAAAUUUGAAAUCAACAAAUCUCGGCACAUCUAUUCUGCAAUUUAGCCGUACUUCAAAUAAUCUUGCGAUAAAAAUUUCUUAAAAAUCUCAGAAAGAGGACAGAACAACCAAGGCAUCAGCGAAAGCAAUCGAUGUUAGGAAAUUGGUGGGUGCAGCAGUACCGCAACUAAAAUAAAAUUGGAAAUAAAAUAAAGAACAAGCACAAUAGAGGACACCAAAAAUUACGUGGUUCGGCUUUUAGCCUACAUCUACGGGCGAAGACAGAAGGAAAUAUUUUACUAGUGAAAUAAGGAUUACAAGUAUUGUAAGAUUUUAGCUCACUACCCAAAACCCCAAUACACCCAAUCUCUCACUCACUACACAUGCAAGAGUUUAUUAAACUCUUGAAAACUCUCAACACUCAAAGAAAGAAAAAUUUCUCUCAAUGGAAUUGAAUACAAAAUGAAAUGAGGAGCUCUGCCUUUUAUAGCCAAAAAAUGGCUAUUAAAUUAUUAUUUUUACCACCGUCUUCAUUCUGCUAUUUUCUUCUUUCUUCUUUUUUCUUCAUUCCAAAUUUGCUGCUGCCAAAUUCUUCAACAUUUUCUUUGGCCGGCUGUCAAAGCCAACUUUGCUUAUUCAAGGGUUCUAGAUGCAGUAGCUUCUAGAUGCAGCCAAAUUUGACAUUCUCCCACUUGGAGAUUAGAUUGAGAAUCAAUCAAUCUCCACAUCAUCCUUUCUGUUUCGCCAUAAUCAUGUUGCCUACGUUGCUGCUAGGCCACAAGAGGAUCUACUCCAGAUAAACUUGUCAGCAUUUAUUGGCUUGGUCAAAACAUCUGCUAGGUUCUCCUUCGUAUGGAUUUUCUGCAAAUCCACACUUCCAUCUUCCACUACUUCUCGAACGAAGUGAUACUGAACUCCUAUGUGCUUUGUCCUGGAAUGAAAGGCUAGAUUCCUUGCAAUGUGCAAGGCACUCUGACUGUCACAAAACACAAGAAUUUUCUGUUGUUUGUGCCCGAGCUCCUCCAAUAAUCUUUGUAUCCAAAUAGCUUCCUUGCAAGCUUGUGUAGCUGCCAUGUAUUCUGCUUCUGUUGUAGAUAAUGCCACAACGGUCUGCAGUUUCAAAACCCAGCUUACAGCUGCUCCCGCAAGUGCAAACACAUAACCAGUAGUGGAUUUCCUUUUAUCAAGGUCUCCUGCAAAAUCUGAAUACACAUAGCCCCUGACAGUAAACUCUGAUCCUCCAUAACAUAAUGCAACAUCUGAGGUUCCUCUGAUGUAUCUCAGAAUCAUCUUCACAGCUAUCCAAUGCUCUCCGCCAGGAUUCGCCAUGUAUCGACUGACUGCUCCCACUGCUUGUGCAAUGUCCGGUCUUGUACAUAUCAUAGCGAACAUUAAACUUCCCACUGCUGAUGCAUACGGUACUCGAGACAUCUCCUUCCUCUCUGCUUCAUUGCUAGGACACAUACUUGAGGAUAAUUUGAAAUUAACAGGAAAUGGGGUAGAAAUUGACUUACAAUCUUGCAUGUUGAAGCGCCGCAAGAUUUUCUUCAAGUAAUUCUUCUGUGAUAGCCAAAUCUUCCUGUUAUUUUUGUCUCGGUGAAUUUGCAUCCCUAGAAUCUUGUUUGCUGGUCCCAAGUCCUUCAUUUCAAACUCCCUAGCCAACUGUGCCUUCAAUUCUUGGAUUCGAUCUUUGUUGGGACCUGCUACCAACAUGUCAUCUACAUACAACAGCAAAAUGAUGAAAUCAUUAUCUUCAAACCUCUUGUAAUAUGCACAAUGGUCUGAACUGAGUCUGUUGUAUCCAAGGCUCAUGAUGAAGGAAUCAAAUCUCUUAUACCAACACCUCGGCGCCUGUUUGAGACCGUAUAGAGAUUUGUUCAACUUGCAAACCAAGUUCUCCUUUCCUGUUUCUGCAAAACCUUCUGGUUGGAGCAUAUAUAUUUCUUCUUCAAGUUCUCCAUGAAGAAAUGCAGUUUUCACAUCUAACUGCUCUAGAUGUAGGUCAAAUGUAGCACACAUUGCCAAGACUAUUCUGACUGUUGUGAGUCGAACCACGGGCGAAAAUAUCUCGUUGAAGUCAAUGCCUUCUUUCUGAGCAUAUCAUUUCACCACCAAUCUUGCACGAUACCGCUCCACUUGGUCAUUGCCAUCACGCUUGAUCUUGUAGACCCAUUUGUUUCCAAUGGCUUUUCUUCCAUGUGGUAGUGGUACAAGUUCCCAUGUCUUGUUCUUGUGUAGAGCUUCAAUUUCUUCCUGCAUUGCUGUCAUCCACAAAGCAACAUCUGAGCUGUUUAAAGCUUCAUGGAAAGUUGAAGGCUCUCCAUCCUCUGUUAAAAGACAGUAUGCAACGUUGAUCUCUGUGACAUACUCAGAGUGCCACACCGGCGGUCGUCUCUCACGAGUUGACCGACGAACUUCUGGAGCCUCGGACUCGACUGGUUCUUGUUCCUCGUGCUCUGGUGCUGCUUCAGAAGAAUCUGAAUCUUCUGGAUUAUUUUCUACAUAUACCGGCACAAUCUCUGACUUUUCUUUUACAGUGCCAUCAUCUCCAUCUUUCAUUUGCAGUUGAUCUUCUACAAAAAUAACAUCUCUGCUGAUGACGAUCUUGUGGGCAGUGGGGUCCCACAGACGAUACCCCUUUACUCCAUCAGCAUACCCCAAGAAGAUACAUCUUCUAGAUUUUGGAUCCAACUUUGUUCUUUCUUGGGCAUUGUACAUCACGUACACAGGACAUCCAAAUGCAUGUAGGUAGGAAUAAUCAGCUGGCUUUCCAGUCCACAUCUCCAUCGCCGUCUUCAACCCAAUCGCUGUAGAUGGUGAUCGAUUUACUAUAUAACAGGCAGUUUUGGCUGCUUCUGCCCAUAAUGAAUUGGGUAAACCAGCAGUCCUCAACAUAGCUCUUAUUCUUUCUGUAAGAGUUCUGUUCAUCCGCUCUGCCACUCCAUUUUGUUGAGGAGUGUACGCCACCGCGAACUGCCUCUGAAUACCUUCUUGCUUACAGAAAGCAAGAAACUCGCCCUCUGUAUAUUCUCCACCAUUAUCCGUCCUCAAGCACUUGAUCUUUUUACCAGAUUCAAGUUCCACACGCGCUUUGUAUUCUUUAAACACAGGAAAUACAUCUGACUUUUUCUUAAUUGGAUACACCCAACAUCUUCUAGAAUAAUCAUCAAUGAAAGUCACUAUGUACUUUGCACCUCCCAUGGAUAUAUCCGGUGAUUCCCAAACAUCAGAAUGAAUCAAGUCUAGAAUGCAUUUACUUCUAGCAAUAGAUCUACUGAAUUUUAAUCUAUGCUGCUUACUUAUAACACAAUGCUCGCAAAAUGGUCUGAAUUUUAAUCUAUGCUGCUUACUUAUAACACAAUGCUCGCAAAAUGGUAAACUUACCGAUUUGAGCCCCGGAAGCAAUUUUCGCUCAGAGAGAAUCUUCAAGCCUUGUUCUGACAUGUGACCAAGUUUGAGAUGCCACAUCAUCGUUGAUUCUUCUCCAUUUGACGCGACACACGUAUUAGCCUCCUGUAGUGUUUCUCCUCUAAGCAUGAAUAGAUUAGCACCGAUCUUUUCUGCUUUCAUCAAUACAAGCGCGCCUUUAACGAUCUUCAUAAUUCCAUUCUCCACAUGAGUUUUGUACCCAUGACUAUCCAUGUGUCCCAAAGACAAUAGAUUUUUCUUCAAGCCAUUGACAUGUCGUACCUCUCCAAUUGUGCGAAUUGUACCAUCAAACAUUUUUAUUUUGAUAGUACCAAUACCAGCGAUCUCCAAGGCAUGAUCAUCUCCCAUAUAUACAGAUCCUCCUGAGAUAGGUUCAUAUGUGUGGAACCAUUCUCUCCGAGAGGUCAUGUGCCAGGUAGCUCCUGAGUCUAUAAGCCAGACAUCAGACAAUCGUUUUCUGCCUUCUGAAACAGUUGUUGCCUCGCUGUAAAGAAUUUCGCCAUCAUCUGAGGUACUUGCUACACAACCCUGAGCAUUUGAUGACUCAGGUUCUUUUCCCUCUUUUCUCUUCUGGUUACUCCAACAUUCUUUCUUGAUGUGCCCUUUCUUGCCACAUUUGUAGCAUUUAACAUUAUUCUUACUCAUGGAUUUUGAUCUACCCUGAUUUUGACUCCCACUGGGGCCACGUUCCGUUGAUCUCCCUCUCGUCACCGAUAGCGCCUCCGCUUGCUGCGAACUUGCUUGUCUGUUUUCCUUAUUUUUCCACCUGCUCUCCUCAUUUAAUACGGAGGCUGCAACAUCGUCGAAAACUAGACUCUCCACUGGAUUGUUGUUCGUCAGGUUGAUGAUGAGUUGAUCAUACGAAUCUGGUAGACUUUGAAGUAGAAGCUCUGCACGUUCAUUUUCCUCUAUAUUAUGACCCAACAUUGUGAGUUGUGAAAAUAGAGUCUUCAAUGUGUUGAUGUGGUCGGUCACCAUUGUAGAUUCCGUCAUUCGAAGAGUAUAGAGUUUUCUCUUCAAGAAGAUUUUGUUGUGUAGUGACUUGGCCUCAUACAAUUUUGUGAGAGUAUCCCAUAUUUCCUUCGCCGUAUUUUUCUCUGCCACACUGGAUAAUACUCCAUCCGCAAGUGCCAAGUGUAGAUCAGAAAUGGCGUUGCCGUCUACCUCGUUCCACUUGUCAUCAGUUAUCUCCAUGGGCCUUUCUCCAAUUGCUGCCAAACAAUUAUUUUUCCUCAAUACAGCUUUCAUCUUCAUUUUCCACAAUGAAAAAUUAUUUCCGUUAAACUUCUCAAUUUCAUACUUUGCCGCCAUUUUGUUGAUAAAUACUGUACACAAGUUAGUGUACCACCUUGAAUAGUUGUGAGUAUGUGUGAUAAUGCACACCAGGAAAGUUCCCAGGAAAGACUGGAGGGGUCACAAUGGUCCCACUUAAAACCCAGACUCCUUAAGCUCUUAUCGCCUUUGUGACAGAACUUUCCUAGACAUGUACAAAACCACAGUUGUUUUUCUCACACUACUAUUCCCUGCUUUGCACCGGAAAAUUCUUGGAUCGCUUCCACCGUUUCACGUGAAUAGUACCGUAUACGUGAACAAUACCAUAUAUGUGAACAAACCCGUAUACGUGAACAACACAGUAUACGUGAAUAGUGUCGUAUACGUGUACAGUGCCGUAUACGUGAAUAGUACCCCUUACGUGAACAGUUCCCGACUCCAAAAAUACAACCAAUAGCUCUGAUACCACUGUUAGGAAAUUGGUGGGUGCAGCAGGACCGCAACUAAAAUAAAAUUGGAAAUAAAAUAAAGAACAAGCACAAUAGAGGACACCGAAAAUUACGUGGUUCGGCUUUUAGCCUACAUCCAUGGGCGAAGACAGAAGGAAAUAUUUUACUAGUGAAAUAAGGAUUACAAGUAUUGUAAGAUUUUAGCUCACUACCCAAAACCCCAAUACACCCAAUCUCUCACUCACUAGACAUGCAAGAGUUUAUUAAACUCUUGAAAACUCUCAACACUCAAAGAAAGAAAGAUUUCUCUCGAUGGAAUUGAAUACAAAAUGAAAUGAGGAGCUCUGCCUUUUAUAGCCAAAAAAUGGCUAUUAAAUUAUUAUUUUUACCACCGUCUUCAUUCUUCUAUUUUCUUCUUUCUUCUUUUUUCUUCAUUCCAAAUUUGCUGCUGCCAAAUUCUUCAACAUUUUCUUUGGCCGGCUGUCAAAGCCAACUUUGCUUAUUCAAGGGUUCUAGAUGCAGUAGCUUCUAGAUGCAGCCAAAUUUGACAAUCGAGGCAGGGCACGCUCAAGCCACGAAUUAGAGGAAUUUUAAAUAUCAAAACCAGCUCAGAAUAAUAAGAAGUAAAAUGAAACUAAAAAAGGCUCAGAUUUUUGGAUGAGUGAAGGGAAGAUGAGAAGAUGAAAUGCAGAAAGUCAAGAAAUGAAUAAACCAAUAUUAAUAAUCUUGGACCCACAUCUCUAAUUUGGAUUAAGCAUCCAUCUGCCUAUGUGGAUAAUAUUUUUGCUAAUUUUUCAGCCAUGCAGCAGGAUCAUGUUCGUCUUGUUUUAUUUGAUAGAAGGAAUUUUCCCUUGGAAGAAAAUGAUGAGUCGUUUCAACGUAAUGCAGCUACCUAGACUGCAUGGAAUUUCACCAGACAAUGACAAUUUAUUCUCAGAUAUAUCUAAAUCUAACGCCCCCACAUUUGUUUAGUCACCCAAAUUUGAAGGCGUCCGUUUUGAGACUGAUCAAAACUUUUUCCAAAAAUUCGGGAUUCAGGUCGAUCAGGCCGGUUAUGUUUUGAAAACUUGUAAAUUUUCAGUGAUCAAACUUCAAAACUUUGCAAAUAGGUCAAAAUAUGAAAAAUUCUUGAUAUAUUAUUGAAUACUCAUUUUGUUUUGCAUUAAUAUAAGGCUAUGGGUGCUAUCUAGUAAUGUUGGUAAAAUUUCUUGAGUUGAAAACAAUAAAACGAAAAUAGCUCUAAUAGAUCCACCCCUGUUUGAAACUCACUCAUAUGGAUGGGAAAGAAAUUUAGUUACCAUUGGAUUAAAAAAUAAUUAUUAUUAUUAGAAAAAAAAUUGUAAGGCUUCGACAAGAUUUGCUAAUCAUGUAUAGGUUAAAAUUUAUGUGGGUUUGGCCACCAAUUUAGCAUUAGGAACUUAUUGUUUAGGAAGCUAUGGUGGGUGUCGUAGUGGGACUUAUUCUCUUUAAUGCAUAUGGUGAUUUUAAACCAACAUUUAUAUAAUCCCAUUAUAAAACUCAUCAAACCUUCUAAAAUAACAUGUUGAGAUAGUGUGCUAGAAGUAUUUCUCCAACUUCUUAGCUUGAAGCGAUGUUCAUUUCCAUUGAUAGUUUAAUGGGCAAAGCCUUUUGAAUUCUCCAUGUUAUCAAGUUAAUUUUUGCUGGAAAAUGCAAUCCGGAUAUGAAUAGAAUUUUUUGUGCAAUCGAAUUUUCUAUGUUGACACAUCUUCUGGAACAUUCAAUAAAUUUUAUGGAGAAGUUUUAAUUUCUUAGUUGUUGAUUUCGAAUAUAUUAAGCUCUUAUUCAGUAUUAAAGUAUUGUGGCCUAAAAGAUAUAGUUCGUAUGGAAAGAAAUUUGUAAUUACAAAAUAAAAAUUGAUAAAGUGUGAUAAAUAUAAUUUCAAAAUAAAAAAUAAACUUAACUUCAAAAUUACAAUAGUAAUUAUAAAGUAUUUACUAAAUACAUUAGUGUUGCAGUAACUGCCCUACCACAAUGACAAAUAGGGGGCUAAUACUACAAAUUGUUCCAUUAAAAGUCACCCAAAAAGGAAGAAGUGACUUAAAAAAUUAAAAGAAUGCAGGAGCUGAAGUUGGCUAUUUUGUAAAUUGCAAUGGCAAUUGUGGCCUAGUAAAAUCCCUCAAUGAGUCACAGCACUAGCAAUUUCGUAAUAUACAUUAGUGGCAAUUUUGUAAAAUUGAAGUAAUGAUAGUUUUGCAAAUAAAAGUAAAAACUUUUUCCCUAAAUUCGGCUGAGCUAAAAACCAGCUUAGCCCACAGUCUCCUUCGCCACCGGUUGACGAGCUCUUCCUUCAAUUUUUGAACUUGAAGUGAUGCCCCAUCGAUGUCCAGAAUUUUUAAAGUCUCCCCAUUGUACAAGUUAAACAAUAAAGUCAGAAUGAUGAUCCUAAUGAUUCUUUUUAGAGAGUCACCUGUACGUUGAAGUGUUUAAUUGAUGUUUAUUUAAGCAGAAAUUGAAGUUUGAUCCUGAUUAAUUAGAUGAGAACACACAUUCAUGAGUAAAUACUUAAAAUUAAAUUAAUCAAAAUAGUAUAAAUACAGGAGAAAAUCGAUCAUAUGCGUACAGAAAUCACAAUCGAAUUAUAUAUAUCACCGCCGCACAGAAAUAACAAUUAAAUUGUAAUGUCAAUUGUCCACAUAAGAUUUUUUUUUUUUUUUUUUUUUUUUUUGUUGAUGAAAGUUAGUAAUUUUUUUCCAUCUUUUUAAAUAAUAGUUGUUAAUAAAUAUCAAGAAAAUAUUGGGACUGGAGAUCAGGGUCUACUUAAGUUAGAAGUGAGAGUAGUGCAGAUAUGUGGGGAUUAUAUGCAAGGUGGCUUAAAAGUAAAGGAGAUCUUACAAUGUGCUCUGAAGCCCUCUUAAAGCAAGUCAGAUCAUAUCAGGUUUCUCCAUAAAUCUCAUCAUCUUAUAAUAAGUUAGCAUUAUGUUUUACUUUGAUGUUGAUGGAAUUUGUUAAUGCUAAUCAAAUUUUGUUAAUCUCCCUCUCUUUUUUUUUUAAUUUAAAAGAAGGCAAAUAAAAAGCUUUGUGAUUUCAUUUUUGUUUUCUAAAUUUGUUAUCUAAAGGAAUGACAAGUUGAUAACUCAGCCUCUGUGUGUGUGUGUCUGUGUCAGGGAUCUGAUUUGUGGAAAGAUAGAGAUCGGUUUAAAAGGUUUUCAUAUGCAUCCUUGGAACUUUGUAAGGUUUACAUGGAAAUUUCUUCCUCUUCCGGUAGCCGUCGAGAGCUCUUUGCUGCUGAGAUGCACCUGAAGAACGUACUUAAACAAGUAAAACACCUUAUAAUUCGAUAUUUAAGACACUUACAGUUGGUUUAAAGAUUGUAUUUUCUGUUUCUGUUUUUGACUGGUUCAGGGUAAAACUUUUUCUCACUGUGUUAGAGUGCAUUUCUGUUAUUAUAUAGUUUCUUAGAAGAAAAUGCACUUUUUGGAAUCUCAGGCUAAAGGAUUUUCUGACAUGGAAGAGUUCAGGGAUCUUCAAGCUUGCCUUGAUGAAGUGAAGACAAAACUCCAAUCUGGUCCCGUGGCUACCUAAGUAUCAGGAAUGUGCUAUUUUUGAAAUUUAGUAACAAGGUUAAAUCUGCAACUAAAAAUUAUUUUAGUUUGUACUGUAGUGGAGACCUUAAGCAGGACUGAAUAUCUUGUAUUGUUGUAUCACCUUUUCUGUAACAAAACGGUCUAGUUUUACUAUUUUUAUUAUUUUUGUAUUUUCGGUGCUGUAACUAAUCUCAUUUGACAAUUUAAAUAUAUGGCUUCAAGUUCUUUAAAUGUAACAUCAAGUGUUGUUUCAACCUCUGUUCUUUUAUGUAUUUCUUGCAUGCGGUGAUUUCAUUAACCUCAAUUUAAGGACAAUUUCAUAUCUUUUUUCUUUCUGCUUUUCUUUUAUCAUUUAAAAACAACACACACACACACACACACAUUUAUAUUUCAGAAGAGGAAAUUGCACGGGAUAUGACUCAAUACUUGCUAAAUGCCAAGACUAUGACCCAAUUAUUUACAUGCCGAGACUAUGACCGAAUAACAAGUGAAAGUACACAAAUAUCCUUAUAAGUAACUAAGUUAAAAAUAUAAAACUUGAGUUAGGAAGUUUAGGAAUGCAUUGAACUUGUAUUCAUUACUUUGAUUAAUCCAUUUACCGUUAUACAAGACAAUAACACGUACCAUAUCCAUUUACAUAAAAAUUAUGAGUUGACAAAGUAAGAAUAUUAACAAAAAUAAGUUGUUAAAAGUUCUUGUAGACUUCUGUGCUUCAGUUCUAGACUUCUAGAUUUAUAGACUUACCUACAUGUCUAUAAGUCUAGAUGUAAAGAAGUCACGAAAACGAUAACAAUGAUAAACAAACUCAAUUCAACAACAAAUUUGAUGUGUAAAAAUUGUGUUGAAGAAUUUUUUGGAAUCUGUUUGAAUUUGUUAAGGGAAUGUGAUGAUUUUAGUAAGUGUUUGAUAACAACUUAGAAUGUUGGACGCAUUAUAGUGCUGGGUGCAUGCUUUUGUUGGAAAAGAUAAGGGCAUUUUAGACUAGGGAUCACCAAAAUGUCAUACAAAUUUAAUUGAGUAAAAUUUGUCAUAUUUAUAUAAAAUGUACAUGAUUUUGUCAUAUAUAAAUAAAAAACCCAUUUCAGAAAGCAUUUAAACAAAGCGAGAGUACAAUAAAAAACCCAUUUUAGAAAGCAUUUAAACAAAGCCAGAGUACAAUAUAGAAAGAUUUUACUCAUUCUAAGUGUGUACCAAACAAAGAAAUGAACUCUCCUUUUCUAGUUAUAUAAUUAUUACAUGAAAUUAAUAAAAACAUGACGAAUUAUAAUUCCUUGCGAUAUAGUGGGGGUUAUAGAAAAGUCAAGAGUUGCUAGUGGAAGAUAAUAGGGAGAGUACAAUAUAUAUAUUAUGAACAUUCACAUUUAUUUUAAUAAAUUCAUAGCAUUUUUUUUGCUUAAAUAACAGGGUGUAUGUAUAUAUAUAUUGACAUAAAAAUUGCAUGACGUGUGGUUUAGCGUUUCUUGGUUGUUCAGUGCUAGUUUUAUGUCAAUUUUUAUUGACAUAAAAAUUGCAUGACACAAAAAAGGCUGUUUUAACCAACUAAAAACCAAAAGCUAAAACCCAAAACCCCCCUCUUUUUCGUUUUCCAGGGACUUCACCUUGAUAUUCAACCAACACUUCUGAUGUCUGCCCUUCAAUAAACCAAGUCAUUCAUACACAUGAUUCUACUAUUGGUGAUGCCUCUGAUGUUUUUGUGACCCCAAAAUUAUUGGGGAAUAGUCAUGAAUCUGAAUCUGGAGUCCAAUGCAUUCACGCUGGUGGCUCAGCAGCCCAUUUAAAGGCAAUCCAACAGGCAGUGAUCUUGUCGAGGUGCCUUCUAAUAGAAAAGAGCUCAUGGCAAGAUGAAAUGCAAAGUAAGUUGUUUUAUGGUUGGCCGGUGUGUAGUCAUCUCGUUAAAGGCCAUAAGAUGUUUAGCAUAUUGCUAUUUAAUUUUUAAAUCAUUCUCAGUAAUAAUUCCUUUAGUAGAUUGAUGAUAAGAGAUUGCAUUACAGAUGAUAACGGAGCACAAUUUUUGUAGUUGUAUCCCUGUACAUCCAUCUUAAUAUCCUCAUUAUAUUCACAUGCCUUUUACGGGUGUUAUUUCUGGAUGCCGAAUGCUUUGCUCCACGUCUGGAUACCAAAUGCUUUGUUCCACAAAGCUGAGCUGGUUGAAAAGCUAGCUGAUGAGGUCAACACGUCCCUUAAGUAAUUUGAGGAUGAACACUGUGUUCCCGAAAGUCUUACUCUAAUGAUACUUAAAGAAGCAAUGAGAAUGGAUGUUGCAGCAGCUUUGCUGAACUCAACUCCAGUUCCAAAAAUGGAACAUGUGAAAACCGAAAAUGCAUUGUUUUUUUUUUUUUCCUCUUUAUGACUUCUCUAGUUGGGGAAUGUAUUAGAUAUUCACCUAAUCAGUAGGCCUUGAAGGGAUCCCAUGUUAGCCCCUUGAUGUUGGUCUGUAACUAAGUAAAUACUUGACCUUGAAAAAGCUUUUGGAGGCAUCAGUUUCUCUCUGACUGGUGCUACUUUUUGGAUCUGUUGAUUUGGUCAUUUGCUGAUUUAUAGUUUGUUUUCUGAUUCAGGAUGGGAUAUGGCUCCAUACAUAGAGGCAACUGAUUCACAGCAGUCGUCAUGCUUCAUUGUAAAUAUAUAUACAAUACAGCAUCAGUUUUUCUUGAUUUUAAAUCUCAUAUUCUGAAGUGGUACUUCUGAUUCUCACAUGAUUUUUCCAUCUUUCAGCUAAAGUUUUUCUGUGAUCUCUUACGUAUUAGAUGGGAAUCCACCCGCAGUCGCACAAAAGGGCGUGCUUUAGAGAUGAUGGACAAACUGGUAUGAUCUGUGAGCCUUUUCUUCUUAAAUAUUUUGUUACCUAAACCAUUUUCAUUCAAAUUGACAAGUGUUGCUUAUCAAUCUAUAGAAGAUUCCAAACUUUCUGCAGCUAGUACUUUAUUGGACCCAAAAGCUUUUUUGCUUUUUCUAAGCUGCUAAUCAGGACUAGGUUUCUCUCCCUUAUAUCGCUAGAUAUCCCAUUAAUCGUUUGAUUUAGUUGUCUAGAGAGAUUAGGUACUUGCAUCUUCGCUUUUCACUUCACAAGUGAUUUCAUGUGCUAUCCUGUAUUCUGGUUCAAGAUUUUUGAAGGUUGCUUACCAUCAUAUUUUGCUUUGUUUCAGGUUGAGGGCAUUUCUAAUUCUUCUCCCGGUGUGACUCAAAGGAUUCCCUUUUGUUAUGUGAUUUAAGUUCCAACUAUUCCUACCCUGCGAAAGUAAUACUAUUUCUUUUGCUUCUUUGAAUGAUUGUGAUUUAAUUUUCUUGUCAUUUUGCCAACUAUCAUUAUGCUGUCAUUGUUUCAUAUCUUAUUUGACAUAUGUUGAUUUGGUUAGAGUUUAAUUGCUCUGUUUAUUCUCUUUAUAAUCUGUCUAUUUCGAUUUUUCUUGAUUUUAGGGAAUAUGCUGAACUUUUAGUAAGCUGUGGCUUGAUUGGAGAGGCUAUUAAAAUUUUUGAGGAUCUGGAGUUGUGGGAUAAUCUAAUAUACUGCAACUGGUAUGAUGUCAUAGAUAACCAUUAUCCUAAUCUCUCUGUCUGUCUGUCUGUCUCUAUCUCUCUCUUUCGUGUUGCUAAUGGGAGUUGGUUUUUUGUAUGAUGUAAAAAACAGCCUAUUGGGGAAGAAAGCAGCAGCUGUUGAACUAAUAAAAGCAAGGCUGUCUGAAAAGCCUAGUGACCCUAGAUUAUGGUUGGUUAAUGAGCCUUUUCUAUGAUCCAUUUUAUAGUUACUUCUCAUUUCAGUUAAAUCCAUUGUUGAUGUCACUUAUUGCAAUCUAGGGAUAAUUGUUCAUUGGUUGUAAGGAUAUUGUCAGAAGAAAAUGAAACCUUUUAAUUUUGUCUUUUACUUGCUGUAGCCGAUUUAAAAGCUCACUGUGCGUUCUUACUGAUUGCUUUUGGUCUUGCAUUUGAGUCAAUGGAUUUUAUACUCAUAUUCUGACAUUUAUUGUUAGUCUUCUGACGGUUCUGCACCUUGGUCCUAUAUUAUCUUCAGCAGUAUUAUCUAAAAGAUAAGUUUUUGCCGAAGAAAAUUUGCAUUCUAAACUAGAAAAUGAGGGGCCGGGGGGAGGGGGGGGGGGGGGUAGGUUGGGAGGCAACGGGAGACUGUUUUCCACUUAUCCUCUUCCCUGCCUGCAUUUUAGAUGAUUUUGAUGCACCAGGUGCCGUGAAAUGGUUGAGAAAUACAUACCAUCAAGUGAAUUCUGAAAAUCAUUUCCUUUUUGAAAAUAUUUGGUGCUAGACAUUUGAAUAUAUGGCCACAAUUUAAACAAUAAAGAUUUUCUGCAUUGAUUUCUUAUAAUGGAUAGAUGCAUGUAAGUAAAAUAUGAUAUCUUUUGAUUAUUGGCCCAUUUGUUCAGAAAGAAGGAAAAAAAAAAAAAUACAUGGUUGAAAGACAACUGUUACUUGACCUUAUGAUACAUUUUGUAGGUGUUCAUUAGGUGAUGUUACAAAUAAUGAUGCCUGCUAUGAAAAAGCUUUGGAAGUUUCGAAUGAUAAGUCAGCUCGAGCUACGGUGAUAUUGUAGUUCACAUUAUGCUUGUGCCGUGAUCAUUUUUUAGUUAACAUAUCUUUAUGUGAAUCAGAGGUCUCUAGCUCGUAGUGCAUACAACAGAGGGGAGUACGAGACAUCUAAAAUCCUUUGGUAUGUUGCUUUAAUGCUUUACUUCUCUUUCUGCCACACAGUAAUUUGCUGCAUUGACAACUGAUACGGCUGAAUGACAAUUUACCCUUGGUUUUGUCUCGGGGAGGCUGCCAUGGCCUUGAAUUCUUUGUAUCCGGAUGGCUGGUUUGCUCUUGGUGCUGCUGCAUUGAAGGUAUCAUAUUUUUGUAUUAGUAUGUGUUUAGUGUGAAGCAAUUUCUUAUCCUUUUGCCCCAAGUUUCUGAAACUCUCGGCUGAAAUAUAAAUACAGGCUCGGGAUGUUGAAAAGGCUCUGGAUGGGUUUACUCGGGCUGUUCAACUUGAUCCAGACAAUGGGGAAGCUUGGAACAAUAUUGCUUGCUUGUAUGCUCUUUUCUUUGUCAUCAUGUCAUUCCAUCCUCUUGCUCUGUAUUCUUUAAUAUUGUGUCAAUCACAUUCAUCUUCUAUCUGCAAGAGUAUGCUUCCCAUAUUUGGUUUACUUUGUUUUGACUUUCUUGUUGCAGUUGUUCUAUAUAAAUUUUAUAUGGUUCCAUAUUCCCUUGAUGAGUGAAUUUAGUUGCUGCAAAUGUUAAGAACUAGAUAGUACUGUUAUAAUUAGGAAUAGGGCAAAUAUUAGCCAGCUCUUUUGAGGAUUAUCCAUAGCAUAUACCUCCGUCGUUUUCAAAGCGAUUGAAGUUCUCCCUUUUGUCUUAUUUAAAAGAAAAAAGCACAAAUUGCUUCCCUCACAUCUAUCUACAGUCUCUUUUCUCUCUGUUUAAUUUUUUCUUGUGCUUAUUAUUUGUCUUUUAAUGCAUCUUUUCUUCUUAUUUUAUACUGUACUAGAAUUUGUGCUGUCUCGAUUUUAUCUUGCAUGUGAGUUACUGUGUUUUUCGCAAUUGUAGAACUUUAUUUAGCAGCAUAAUUAUUAGUUAGUGAGACAUUAAUUGGUUAAUACCACUUGUGAAGAUACGAAGAGCUACUUAUUCUCUCUUCUAGUACAUUUAAAAAAUUCAUGACAAAAUAUCUGGGAUGGUAAAAUUCUCGUCAAUUAUAACUACGGAAGUCUUGAGAUUUAUGUAGUCUUGCAGGCAUAUGAUCAAGAAGAAGAGCAAAGAGGCUUUUACAGCAUUCAAGGAGUCCCUAAAGUUGAAGUUCUGUCUUUUUUCCCCCUGAUCACUACAUUUUUAUUUUCUGUCAUGCACAAUGCAGUCGGACACUAUCUGAUCACAAGAAAACUGUCAUACAUAAUUUGUUGCUGCUAGGCAAAAGGUGAUAUCUAAUGUAAUAACCUAUAACAUGAUUUUGUAACAGACGGAACAGUUGGCAAUUGUGGGAAAACUACAGCCAUGUUGCUUUGGAUGUGGACAAUAUUGGUCAGGUAACCGCGGUUGUGCGCUUAAUGUCCAUCAUUUAUCACUGAAAUCUUUUGAGAUGAAGCUGGCAUUUCCUUAGCCACCCUCUGAUGGUUUUGAUUGCUUCAUGUAUGUUGUCAUCUUUGUCAACUAAUGAAAGCUGCAGAGAUUUUGUCAUCUUUUCAUUUAAAAGAAUUUGAUAGUUUAUAGCCCAUUGUCAUGUUUGCAUAUGUAUGUUAUUGUUCUUUUGACCUUUUUGUACCUCAGCUUCAUCCUUUUAUGCAAGCAAUUCUUUGUCAAGAAAUAUCUGGUUAACAAUUUCUUCGCAUGAAUAUUUUUACGGUCAUCAAGGUCCUUGAACAGUCAUGGUUAAUUGAUUACAGAUUCUCAAAUUUAUAAUUAUUUUUUUCAGGGUCAUUGUCCUUUGAUAUAUGCAAUUGAUGCAUGACUUUCUAACCAUUAUCUCCCUGCCUUCACCAUGGUCGUAUAAAUAUUUUGACAAGUGGGGAUUUUAUGAUUACUGUGUGCUAGGAAUUUUUUUGGUUGGAAAGAAAUGGGAGGAUUUUUCAAGAAGCUAGGGAGGGAAGACACCAAAUUUUUUUUGGUGGAUAAAGCCUGCUGUCACUUUGGGCAUCAAUUUCUAAUGAAUGCAAUAAUGUUCCUUUCUUUGCUAUUCAUUAAAAUUGAGUUGUUCUUCUUGGAUGGCCUUCUUUUUACUUCCCAUCAUUUUGCCAGCUUGUUGAUUGUCAUUUUUGCUUGUUGGCAGUCUUUUCCUGCAGUGUUGAUAAUAUUUAAUUAUAAUAUUAGACAACAGUGUCCUCAACAUGAUCUCUCUCCCAAAUUAUUACUCUUUUAUUCAUUAUACUUUUAGCAGUUUCUUUAUUUUUGUUAUAUUUUAUGUUUUCAGGCUCUAGAGGCUGUGCAGAUGGUGUUGAACAUGACUAAUAAUAAACGAAUUGAUACUGUAUUAUUAGAAAGAAUAGUGCUAGAUAUGGAAGGAAGGACUUCAAUUAUAGAAUCUGAGUCUUGCAGGACUACCCAUAAUCUUAACAGAACUAAUAACACUUGUGCAAAAGAUUAACCUGUAGAAUCUGUCCAUGUAUCAUCACCUGAGGAGUCAAUCAUGGGAAGAUCGCGAGAAAAUGAGCACUUGAUGGAGUUUCUUGGGAAAAUUCUUCAGCAGGUUGCACAUGGCUCCAUGAUCAUCUUUUUUCUGUCUUUUAAUACUGAGCCAAGGGACAGUCUCUCUCUUUCACGCAUAUCCACAACACAUGUACAUAUUUCUCAUAUUUCUAUGCGUAUAUAUUGUCAUUUCUGAUCUUUCUUAGUUUAUAUGAUAAUUGUCUUUGGGCAUAUGAUUCAUAUUUUCUGGGCACCCUAUGGUCUGUGGGUCAAUAAUAAUCCAUAGUAUCUGAAUUUCUAGACAAAAUUGGUCAUUUUAGCAAAUCAUUUGGAUGUAUCUAUGCAGCAGUUUACUAUUUUAGUGCUUGCAGGAAUUGGUAUGCUUAAAUUUUGGGCUUAAAUUGUGUGAAAAUAAUCAAAGUGAUAUGCAAAUUAAUUCAAGCCACAUGAGGAAAGAAUAUCCUUUUUUUUUUUUUUCAGCUUAUGUUACAUGUUUCUGUGUAUGGCAUAGGUAGUUCGAAGUGAGAGUAGUGCAGAUAUGUGGGGAUUAUAUGCAAGGUGGCUUAAAAAUAAAGGAGAUCUUACAAUGUGCUCUGAAGCCCUCUUAAAGCAAGUCAGAUCAUAUCAGGUUUCUCCAUAAACCUCAUCAUCUUAUAAUAAGUUAGCAUUAUGUUUUACUUUGAUGUUGAUGGAAUUUGUUAAUGCUAAUAAAAUUUUGUUAAUCUCUCUCUCUCUUUCUUUUUUAAAGAAGGCAAAGAAAAAGCUUUGUGAUUUCAUUUUUGUUUUCUAAAUUUGUUAUCUAAAGGAAUGACAAGUUUACAAUUCAGCCUCUGUGUGUGUGUGUGUGUGUGUGUGUGUGUGUGUGUGUGUCUGUGUCAGGGAUCUGAUUUGUGGAAAGAUAGAGAUCGGUUUAAAAGGUUUUCAUAUGCAUCCUUGGAACUUUGUAAGGUUUACAUGGAAAUUUCUUCCUCUUCUGGUAGCCGUCGAGAACUCUUUACUGCUGAGAUGCACCUGAAGAACGUACUUAAACAAGUAAAACACCUUAUAAUUCGAUAUUUAAGACACUUACAGUUGGUUUAAAGAUUGCAUUUUCCAUUUCUUUUUUUGACUGGUUCAGGGUAAAACUUUUUCUCACUGUGUUAGAGUGCAUUUCUGUUAUUAUAUAGUUUCUUAGAAGAAAAUGCACUUUUUGGAAUCUCAGGCUGAAGGAUUUUCUGACAUGGAAGAGUUCAGGGAUCUUCACGCUUGCCUUGAUGAACUGAAGACAAAACUCCAAUCUGGUCCCGUGGCUACCUAAGUAUCAGGAAUGUGCUAUUUUUGAAAUUUAGUAACAAGGUUAAAUCUGCAACAAAAAAUUAUUUUAGUUCGUACUGUAGUGGAGACCUUAAGCAUGACUGAGUAUCUUGUAUUGUUGUAUCACCUUUUCUGUAACAAAACAGUCUAGUUUUAUUAUUUUUGUAUUUUCGGUGCUGUAACUAAUCUCAUUUGCCAAUGUAAAUAUAUGGCUUCAAGUUCUUUAAAUGUAACAUCAAAUGUUGUUUUCAACCUCUGUUCUUUUAUGUAUUGCUUACAUGCCGUGAUUUC